UGAGGAGGAUGGGAAGUUUGAAUAAUAAAGUGAAAACCAAUAAUUAAGAAAGCCAAUAACAGAUAUUUAGUUUUAUUUCAGACCAUAUACGUACGUGGUGGUCUCUGUUUCUUUAUGUACUUCUGGUUCAUUCGACUAUCUUAAUAAGAACUCCAUCCGGGAGGAUGGGAAAAAAUAAAUAAUAAAAUGUUAAAAUAUGUCUUUGACAUCCAUGUGAAAUCAUUUAUGGUGCUGUCAAAUUUUGAGAGCUACAUGGACAUUUUUUUUUUUACCUCUUGAGCAUCCUAGCAUAUAGCCCAACUAUUGAGUUGUAUGUUUUAUUAGUCAAAUUCGUAGCAGCCAUUUCCAUUCAAAUACUAUUCGUUCGAAGGCUUUCACAUGGAAGAAUUUCUCCUAUGAAUAGAGGGUUUGGCAAGGCAGUUGGUGUGGCACUUCUUUUUACGUCUAACCUCUUCUCAUUUUGAGUUUGCGUUUUUUUGUUUUCCAUUCACACUGUUGCUUUUCCUCUAGCAUUAAAUGCUGAUUGUCCUUUCAAACAACCCUAGUUUUGUUUGGAUUUUGAUAUGAAAAAAAAAAUCACACAAGUUUACUUUAAUCAUCUAUUUUAUUCUGCGGAACUCUAACCCAAUGAUGCUGCUCAUGUAUUGCCAAACAAAAACAGCAUAAUCAUCUUUCAUUGCCAACACACAAGCUGGGACAUUAAAGUUGAAGAUAAUUUUCGAAGCUUUGGUUGGAAAAAAAUGCUACGAUACCAUGUUAUUAGUCCAUGCUAUAUUCUCAUAAUUUCUCAUUUAUGAAUGAACGAAUAUCGGAUGCACAUUUUUUAUGAUGAACUUGUAAAAGUUCUUGCAAGAUAAAAUAAUAACCAUAAAAAUUACACUUUUACUGUUCAAUACUAUACUCAUAUUCUGCUACUUCAGCACAUAUAUGCUAUAUUUUUAUUAACAUUAAACUACAUUUUAUACAGUAACCUACCAACAAUUCUCUCCAAUUAUCCUAAUUUAAUAAAAAAUAACUAGCUCACAAUUAUUUUACAUAUUAUAAAAUUAUUUCCAACAUCAAUACUUACAAAGCAAACUUUACAAAAUAUUUUCAGACAAACAUACUAUUAACACGGGUCACAUAUGCUCACCCUGUGCGUAGCGCAGCCUCAGACUAGUAGAAAUUAUAUUGAAAGUCAACUAGCAAUAUAAAUUAUUGCUUCAAGUCUAUUUGCUUUAAAACAUUAAUCAUUUACGCAUACAUUAAGAGAUCAUAUAAUUCUUUCUGGCUGCGUUUUGAUUUUAAAAGCAUGGCUUUGACCUUUCUGUUCUUAAUUGUUGCUUGGUUCCUUUAAAUAUUCUCUUUUACAUCAUUUGUUCUCGGAUCAGCAUCUAGAAACUUGGAUAGUGAAAGUUAUAUUGUACCAAUGAAGUACAAAGUCCUCAAUCAGGCAGUCUUCAAGAUAUCAGUGUUGAGUCGUUCACGUAUUGAUCAGUGUUGAUUGUUCAAAGUAAUAUUUAACAAUUCAUCCUUUCUUUCUUCUCGUAAUCCUCACCUUUAAAGGUUUGCGGAGUUGAAGACGGUGACGUACUAAUUAAUCAACUGCAAAGUCCAAAGGAUUUGACUAACGGUUACAUACUCUCGUUAUAAGUGUUUAUAUUUUUACAAGACUAUAAUUAAUUCGGGAAAGCCUCGAAAUGCUAGGAUUGUAGUAACGGUAAAUAUAUGUAUUCAUAUAAUAAGUUAUGUGUAAUUUAAAUAUACUAACGAGUUACUACUAGGCACCCAUUAGAAAAUCAAAGUUCAAAUAAUAGAAAAUAAUUUGUUUUUUCAUUAUCGAAUCAAAUAAGGAUUUAGCCUAACAUUUAGGACAAAUAGUGGAUAACAUUUAGGACAAACCACAAUAACAAAAAAGAAAUUUUAUCUAAUGAUACAAUAUUUUAUAUUCAUUCUCAAGUUAAAUAGAGAUUUAGCAUGAAGAAAUUACUGAAGUAAAGAAUUGAUUUUAAAAGGUAGGAUAUGGGGUGUAGCUGAUUGGUGAAAAAAUCAAGCUUUACUUUUGCUUAUGGUGUUAGUUACUAACUACUAGGAUUAGAUUCCGGAGGUUGAAUUUGAUAAAGUUUUUGUACUUACGCCCUGUUUGAUAACCCAAUUCAACAUUUAAAUUUAAUAGAUUCAGAUUUUAACAUAUUUAAAUGCACUUAAUAACUAAAAAUUGAACAUCUGAAUUAAUUAAUAUUAAACAAAACUUGCUUCCAAAAAUAGAUGAUAAACUAUUUACUUAUCACUUAUUAUGAUAUAUAUUCAAAUGUAUCAAAUUUAAUACUUAAUAAUUCAGUAACUUAAUGGAUUCAAACUUUGGUUCUCAAUUUUUAGUUUUCAGCCUUCAGUUUUAUCAAACACACUCUUAGAAUCUGAUCAAUUAGAAGUACCACGCUUUUCUAAGAUAAUUGCCGAUUAAAACUGCUAAUUUACUGGUUUCCCUAGUUAGGCUCAUAAUGAAAAUGAAAAUGGCAGAAGAAAAAUUUUGAAGUACCAUAGUACAACUACUAGCAUGACUAUCAAUAAUCUCCAUGUAAUUAGUUGAAACAUAGGAAAAAAUACAGAGAAGAUAGCACUUAUGAACAAUUUUAAUAACCAGGAAAAAAAUAUUCAUUUUUCUUUUUUGUCAAUUUAAUAAUGGUUUGACCGGUUCAAGAUUUUCGCUUAUUUGCUAAAUUAAUCGCUCUGAACUAACAACCAGAGAGUAAAUUGACUCUUUCAGGUACCAAUGGUUGCUUGAUUUAGAAAUCAAUACUAAAUAUAAUUCUCUUUCUUGCUUCUUUUGGCUUUUGAUAUCUAAAAAAUGAAAACCUAGAUAGCUGAAAUUGAUAUUGUCUGCCAAAACCGAAGUGAUUGGUUGUAUUUAUUAGCACUAGGAAUGGCAUUUCUCCUCAAAAUUGAUACCUUUUUAUUUAACGUUUGUUACCUACAUUAUUCAUUGGAUGUCAUUUGCGGACAUGAUUUCGAAAAGUCCAAUUUAAACUGCAUUAUUGACUCAAUCGAAUAUUAGAAUAGGCAAGGAGCCCCGCACCUAAAACACAGUGGGAAGACUUCAGCUUUUUAGUCUCCCAUCUCAACUUCGAAGCUUUUUAGUCUUCUGACAUUUUCUUACGAAAGUAAAAAUUCGGCAAAUAAAUCUAAAUUCCCGAGCAAUCUUCAAAAGUCGGCAACUUUUGAAGACGUCCAGAGGACUUAUCUAUCCAACCCAUCCCCCCAAGACCGAUGUGGGAUUCAAAAGCUUUUUAGUCGAUCUUCAGCCUUUUAGCUUUUCAGACUUCCAUCUCAACCUUUUCCAUCAAUUUGACCAAGAUGUCAUUAGUCUUCUCAACGUCCUUUCCUAUCAAUUCUUAUUUCUUAGUUUUCCUUGUGAACAACUACCAAUUCCAUGUGUUUAGUCAACUUAGCUUAAUAAUAAUAAAGAUUAAAAAACUCCGCUUUAACUAUGAAUCUGUCUAACGAGUGCAUAAGAACACAAUAAUGCUGUAGUAAUUUUCAAAUAAAAAUUUUAGAUAAAAAUUUCAAUUUUUGCUUUGUUUGCAUCAUACACACAAUUUCCAAUACCUAUCUCACAUACAUCACAUCACAAAAAAUGCUAUAUUAAUUUUUUCAAAUAAAUAUUUCAAAUAACUUCCUAUUCAAACAAAAAUUUGAGUGGACCUGCAAAUGUUUAUUUGGGGCGAAUAAGGGCACAAAGAGCAUUAUCUGUUAUACCAAGUGCUGUAGAAAUAAAAGCGUGUUAGAAAAUUUUGAACGUCUUAAGCAAGAUAGUAAAAUUUUUUUAUUCAUAUAAUCUUAAACUCUCAAAAUUUCACCAUUGAAUAAGGGUUAUAGCACGUAGUAAUUAAUAGCAACUCUUGCCUUUGGCAGAUAUGUAAUUUUGCCUCUCAUUGACAUCUGCCCUAGUUUUUUAAAUGAAAAGGAAGACGAGACUAGAACCUUUUGAACCUUAACUAUCGGUUUUUUUUUUUGCCCCAUCAGAGGAAGGGGUGGAACGUAAGAAGCGGGGAAAAGGUAUGAGAAUUAAAAUCCAAGACCUCUAAUUCUUGAAAUCUGAACUUGUUAGGUUAAUUUUAGAGAAAAUCGUUCAAAACGUCCUUUACAUUUUACAAAAUGACUUUUUUUGUCCCUCACUUUUAAAAGUGUAAUUUUAUAUCCCUUCCAAAUUCACAUUGACCAAAUUUGAUCUCUACGUAGGUUUCCGACUAGUUUUUGGCCAGAAUCCACCACAUGACUUGCAUGUGAUCAUUUUUUGAGGGCAAAAUUUUAAAUCAAAUUUUUCCAUAAUUUGAUUCAUUGUCUCUCACAUUUCACAAAAUGAAUUUUUUCGUCCCUAACAUUUUACAAAAUGAAUUGUUUCGUUCCUCAUAUUUCAAAAAAUGAAUUUUUCCAUCCCUCACAUUUUUCAAAAUGAAUUUUUUUCAUCCCUCAUUGAUCAUGUGUACGAAUAGCUUUUUUCUAUAAACCCACGUAUAUGUCUAUUUGAUUUUACCUGAACAGUAUGAAUAACAUGUAAUUUAUUUCUAUUGGAUUUCAUCUAAACAUGCUAAUUAUAGCUAUACACAUGCUAUUCAAUAGAUGUAUAUAGGGGUUUAAAACUAAUAAUUUUGUUUGAAACCCACGUAUAUAUUUAUAUGAUUUCAUCAUUUGAACCUAUUCAAUAUUUGUGACCUUUCUCUUUUGGUGAUAAUUUAUUUAUUGAGUUGUAUAAUAAGGUCAUCUAAUUAAUAGGUUCUAACUCGAAUUCUAUAAUUGUGCUAACAAAUUUCAGUUUAAAUCUGAAAUUUCUACUCGACAUUUUUAAGACCAACAGUUGAAUUACUUGCCUUGUGAUUGUCUUAAAAUUUGAAAGUGCCAAUCUUUUUUUUUUUUUUAACCCAUAAAUUCAAAUCUAUUUCUGAACUGUUUUUUUAAUAUAGACACAUAGCGUAUUUACUUUGCAUGGGUCUUCAAGGGAUCCAUUAUUAAGGCCUCAAUGGUCCAUAAAUUUAACAUGUAAAUACCAUAUCCAGAACUGCUCACACUAAUAGCUUAAAUUAUUUCCCAGUGAAUACCAUCAUUACCCUUGUGAACACCAACUUAAUUAGGAGCUUUAGAACACCUAAACAUCAAGACAUUUUUUUUUUCAACCAAUGUGGCUACUUUUUUAUUAAAAGCAAGAAAACCAAAGAACACAGACUUCAAUGAGAAACAGCUCGAGAACGAAUAACAGGAGUCUGCGACCUAUCUAACCCUAAGGCCCCCUUGCCAAUCUUGGCAACUCAGACUGUGACGUAUACAAAAUAAUCCCCUCAGACUGUGCCCCCACCUUGGCUAAAGCAUCCGCCACUUGAUUCAUUUCCCGAUAACAAUGCCCCACCGUCCACUCCACACCCUGCAUUGCCAGUAACGCAUCUAGAUCCGAUCGAACUAACCACAGACACCUCCAUUGUCUUACCAGUAGGUUGACUAACACAAGAGAGUCCACCUCCACCCGAAUCCGCGAGAAUCCCCGAAGACAGCACUGUUGAACCCAAACACCAAAGCCUUUAUCUCCGCUUGAAGACAAGUCAGCUCCCCAAAAGGAACAGAAAAUCCAAACAACAAAGCACCAGAAGAGUCCCUAAGCACACCACCCCCGCCACUAACGCCCGGUUGCCAAGCGAACACCCAUCGGUAUUUAACUUGAAGAUCCCCUGGGCUGGGAAUUCCCAACAAACCACUCUAUGGGAAUAUCGAGGCCUCCACCCAGAGAUGCUGGAGUAGACGCCGGCCAGGAGCCAACCCCAGUAAACUCACCUGCAAACUUCCUGGAAAAUAGCCCUACGACAUCUACCAGGAUACGAUCACAAAUGGUCUGUCGCUGCAGGAGCUGCCCAUCAAAAAUUGCAAGAUUCCGUGCCAACCAAAUAUGCCAGCAAAUAAUGGAAGGCAAAACCGAGUGUAAUGACUCCAUACGAGAGUGCUGAACCGGUAGGCACCACCAAGCCGCCAAACGCGACCGCACCCUUAAUCCUCUAUACCUCACUCCAGCGCCAUUUCCAAAAAAGGUCCACAAAAAUUGAGCUAGCUCACCUUCCGCAAAGACGUGCUCCAACGAUUCAGAUUGUGAGGCCAAGCAGCAAAAACACUUGGAUGGACCAUACACUUGCAAUCUUCCUAGUGACGCCAUCGGUAACCGAUCCCGCAGGAGCCUUACCAUGAAGAAUGAUAUCUUGAUUGGGAUUACAGAGUGCCAAACCCUAUCAAACAUGAAACGAGGGGUCUGGCUACCAACCAGCGCGUAUGUGGAAGCAAUGGAGAAAUCCCCUGACUCCGUCAAAGCCCACACCACGAUCGUCCGCGGACCCCACUGGGACAACUUUAGUAACUAUCUCUGAGACUAUGUCAUCAGGAACCCAAAGCCGCAACAACUGUUGAUUCCACCUUCCAUUCAAUACGAAAUCCCUAACUAAGUGAUCAGAAACACUUUGUAACCGUUGACACAGAGGACCAGAACCCAUCCAAUUGUCAAACCAGAAAUUAUACUGUCCCGACCGCAACUCCCACCAAAGGUUUUGCUCCGCCACCUCGCGGAUUUGAAGCAAGCGCCUCCACAUAUAUGAACUGCCUUGACCCGCCCCUACCAUGCAUGGAUGACUCUGCCGACAAUAUUUGGAUCUCAUAAAUGUCGCCCAUAAACACUCACCCGUACGGAACCGCCACCACAAUUUGAGCGAGAACGCUGUAUGAACAUCCAGUAACGACCGAACACCAACCCCCCUUGUGACGAGUCGGCACAGAGGUCUGCCCACUUGAUCCAAUGAUGUCGGAGGCCACCUUCACGCUCCCCCAGAGAAAAUUUGCCAUAGCCCGUUCAACUAAGGCUAGGACUCCCUUUGGAGGACAUGAAGCUGCCAAUAAAUGAAUUGGAAUUGCUGACAGUACGUGUUUGAUGAGUACAAUCCGACCCCAUUGGAUAGAAAUCUGGAACUCCAUGAUGAAACUUUAGAAAUGACUGACUGUACCAGCUCCAUGAAAUAUAGGCACUUCCGGCGCCCCACAAAAAGCGGACAUCCCAAGUAACGCACAGGAAACGACUUAAGACCAAACCCAGUUACCCGUCGAACCCUUGCCACACAUUGCCUAGGCAGUUUAGCAUGCACCAUGAACCCACACUUCUGAACAUUAAUCUCCUGUCCCGAAACUGCUUCAUAGUUCUCAAUUGUCUGCAUAACACAGAUCAGUGAAGAGGAUGAAGCACCCGAAAAAACCAGGACGUCAUCUGCGUAACUGAGAUGAGUGAUCUUAGGACAGCCCCCGGAACAGAAAAGCACUUGAACCCCGAUGCUCCACUAGCUUGUUUAAAGAGCGGGACAACACCUCCGCGCCAAUAAUAAACAAACCUGGAGAUAAUGGGUCCCCUUGACGAAGCCCUCGCGUAGACUUAAAGAAACCUACACUGGCCCAUUGAUUAGAACCGAAAACCACACAUUCGAGACCAAUCUCCAAAUCCUAUCAAUCCAUUGCUCCCUAAACCCAAAUCUUCUCAAGACCAUUGUCAAAAAGAUCCAUGAAACACGAUCAUAAGCCUUUGCCAUAUCUAACUUCAGAGCAACAUCGGCAUUUCUGGAGGUCCUCCCCAUAUUAGAAAGCAACUCUUGUGCAAGCAAGAAAUUAUCCGAUAUAAGCCCCCCGAACAAAUCCACUCUGCUGUGGGAUAUGAUUUUUGGAAGGACUUGGGCCAAGCGAUCGGCCAAAACUCGCGAAAUUAACUUGUUAACAAAGUUACACAAGCUAAUCGGCCGGAAUUGUGAAAAAUCCUGUGGGUGCCCCACCUUAGGAAUGAGCGCAAUGGAAGUCGCUGUAACAGCACGAGGCAACUCAGCACCGCAGAAAAAACUACAAACUGCGCUAACCACAUCCGCACCAACAACUGACCAUGCUGCCGUAAAGAAUUUACCCGUAUAUCCAUCCGGCCCCGGUGCACUCUCCCCAUCCAUUGCGAACACCGCACUUCGAAUCUCCAUCUCAAAGGGAAACUGCUCCAGCAAAUCAUUCUCCUCAUCAGUCGAAAUUGUUGGAAUAUGAUGAAGCAAUUCAGAGGAAGAUGUUGGACGCUGAGCCGUAAACAACCCGAAGUACGAACCGCCUCUGCUCCAAUCCCCUCGUCCGAUUCCACCCACUCCCCUUGGCCAUUUCUAAUCCUGUGAAUGAUCGAACGUACCCUUCUAUUUUUGACGACAGAAUGAAAAAACCUUGUAUUUCGGUCUCCCUCCUGAAGGCACCUAACCCGAGCCUUCUGCUUCCAAAACAACUCCUCCACUCUCAAGGCCGCCCGCAACUGACCUUUGGCAAGAUGUAGCUGCACCCUAGCAGCAUCUGAAUCAUCACUUUCUACACGGAGCUCCGCCAGCCGUACUUCCUCUUCCUUAGUCCACUUAUUUCUUUUUGUCAUGCUUUUCUUUUGUUUACUUUUUCUAUCCAAAUUUAAUUCGAUAUAAACACUCGAUAAUAUUUAGGAUUAAAUGUCAUCUUUAUUUUCAAAUUUCGAGUAAAAGAAAAUGAAUAUAAGUGAAAAACUAACAAUUUUUUUAAACACAUGUAUAUAUCUAUUUGAUUUCACUUGAGCAGUACGAAUAGUAUGUAAUAUAUCUCUAUUUGAUUUCAUCUGCUAUUCGUACUGUUCAAGUGAAAUCAAAUAGAUAUAUACAUGGAUUUAAGAAAAAUUUUGCACACACAUGAUCAAUAAAAGAUGAAAAAAUUCAUUUUAAAAAAUGUGAAUGAUGAAAAAAUUCAUUUUGUGAAAUGUAAGGGAAAAUUUUUAUUUUAUGAAAUGUGAGAGAUUAUGAAUCAAAUUAUAUAAAAUUUCAUUUGACAAUUUUGCCCUUAAAAUAUGAUCACGUGCAAGGCACGUGUGAAUUCCGACCAAAAACUAGUCGGAAACCUAAGUAGGGACCAAAUUUGACCAAUAUGAAUUUGUAACGGACGUAAAAUUAUAUUUUUAAAAGUGAGGGACGAAAAAAGUUAUUUGCAAAAUGUGAGGGACGUUUUGAACAAUUCUCCCUUAAUUUUAAAUUCAUAUCAAACAUAAUUUGUCAAUAGAGGCAUACCGUUUUGCAUUAGAUACAAAAAUUAAAAUGUUCUAUUUGCAGUUUAAUUAUCCUUUGUUUCUGCAUAAUUUGGUAAUUGACUUGAUAGAUUCAAGAUGUUGGCUACUUUGCUUUAACACGUUGAAUUUUGUAGAAGUCAAAAAUUAACCAAAAAUUAUACGAUAUAUAUUUGAUAAAAACUCAUAUAUAUAUAUAUUAUAUAUAUAUAUAUAUAUAUAUAUAUAUAUAUAUAUAUUAUAUAUGGGGAUAACUUACACACAUACAAGUAUGUGUAGGAGAAAGAGGAAUAAAUAUCAACAAUAUAUCGUUAAUUAUAUAUAAUAACAAGACUCUCAAAUUUCACUCUUUUCAACUAACCAUAAUAAUAGGACUUCUUAUUUAUAGACUAGAUAACUUGUUACACAUAAUAACAAGACUCUUAAAUUUUACUCUUUUCAACUAAUCAUAAUAGUAGGACUCUUUAUUUAUAGAUUAGAUGAUUUGGUAAACAAGUUUUACAACUGCAAGAAAUUUUUUAAUAAAAUAAAACUUCCUAAACACUAAAACUACUAUAACUUGACUUCAACAAAAUUACUAAAAACUUGAUUUGACUAAAACACUACCAAAUAACAAUAUAGAAACUUAUAUUUUUUUAGGCUUGAUUUAGUAUGCCAAUAUUGCUUUCCUUAAAUCAAGCUCUCUAUUGAAUUACGUUCAUUGCAAUCACGAACAACAAUCUCCUUUGUAAAUUUUGUUAACAUCAAUUUGAAUUCUUCAUCUUCAAAGGUUUUUUUUGCUGGCAAUACUCCACACUCCUAGACAAAUUUAUCUGAUCGCUCGAUUUAUUUUGACUCAUUAAAAUAAUCCAUGUUUCCGGAUAGACUGUUCUCAUCGCACAAUUUGAUAUCAACCUAUUAACAAUGCACUUUGUGAUUUUAAUAAUCACAACUCAACGGACAGGAUUCUGCAAUCUCUGUUUUUCCACCAUAAUCAAUCUGAAAAUUCUCUUAAACCAAUAUUGUAGCCCAAUCUUCACCAACUGGAUACUCCAUGAUCAAUCUUGUGGUCUAACUCAAUCAACUGAGUGUAUUUCUGAGUGUAUUUCUUCCUUUGGUCCUUCAUGUCACAUGAUUUCCACAUUAAAUCAUCAGCAAUCAUGCAAGCAUCUCCUCACUUCCCUUCAAUUGAUGAUUGAAUUAUCAAAACCUAUAAAAAAAACAUGAAAUUUCCGCACUUAAGUCCAUAGAAAUGUGAGUUUUCUCACUUAACCACAAAAUGCAAAACUUAACUAAAAAUCUAGUUAUUCAACUUCAACUUAAAUGAAAAUACACUAAAAUGCACAUAAAUAACCACUUACAAAUAUGCAAAUCAAGCUGAUAAGUGACUAAUUUACGUAAUAAUUGUAUGAUAUUUUAUAUUAUUUUUAGUCACUUUAGUUAUAUUAUUGGAAGAAAAUCAUUUUGGCUAUAAUUGGUGAAUAAAUGUUUUUAAGUGAUUAAAUGAGGUUUUAUCACUUUUUACUUGGAUUUUGUGUAUUUUGACAGUUUUGACACAUUUUCGUAUUUCGGCUAUAACUUGAGCUACAAUGAUCGGAUUGGGAUGAUUCUUGAACCCAUUUGAAGAUAAGAGAUAGAUCUACAACUUUGGUGAAGACAUCUGAAUCCAGUUUGAAGGUUUUCCAGGUCAAAAGGCCGAAGUACAGAGUCAAUUGCUAUUGGUCGAAACUGGAACAAGGCAUGGAGCAGGCAAGGGUAUUUCAGUCAUAUCUCAGCCUACACAGAUCCAAAUGAGGUGAUUCUUGAUGCAUUAGAAAGAUAAAUCAAAAGGCUACAACUUUUGUGUUUUAGACAUGAGCUGGUUCAGCCUCUAACAUCAAGAAAAGAUCGGUUGAAAUUGGGCAAAAAAACAGAGCAAGUGAUCCACACUCGGAUCCACUAUUCAUCCGAACCCUCGUUGUUUCUGUAAGUGGAACCGAGCUCGGAUCCGUAUGGAUCCGAGGUACUAUAGCAGCUCGGAUCACUGUAGCAGCCCAGAUUUACUGUAGCAAUCCGGCCGGAACUUGGCCGGAUUUAGAGCCGGAUUUAUGGCCGAAUUGCGGUCAGAAAAGGCUGCUCUGUACGCGUAAAACUCAAUUUCACUCCCACCAACUCACAUGCGAUGCUAGACAUGUGAGAGACAUUACCAGCUGUAAGGAGAAAGUGUAAAGCUUCAUUCCUUGACCAUUUUCAUCAUUAAAUAGCCAAAUUCAUUGUAAGAGAGAAAGAGAGACAUACGGGAGAAGCUUGGAGUGCAGAGAUGUAGCUCUUGCAUUUUCUGAGUAGUAGCAGUAGGUUAGUAUAGAGUAGAGUGUUAUCCAUUGUUGUUUAUUAGCUAGAUGAAGAAGAAGAUGGAGGAUGAAGAAGGCAAGGAGAUGAACUCAUGUGACAAGGGUUACAUUCCUUCCAAACUCUUUAUCUUUUGUACUUGAUUCCAAGUUUGGUUAAUAUACAAGUUUUGGAUUUUGUGUUCAAUAUGUGUCUCUAAAGUUUAUGCCUUGGGUUUGGUUGAACUUUCUAUAAUUGUUAGUGUUUAUUAUUUGGUUAUUUGAUUGCUAUGAUUUGAGCAAGUUAUUUAGCACUUUGGCUCUUUAAAUAAUGAUUAAUCUGGUACCAUUGAUUGUGAUUAUCUAAGGUGUUGUUUCUGCAAUGAAAAUUGAGAUUUAACACUAGUUCAAGAAGUGCUAAACAUAAGGAGUACACUCACGAAAGUAGAGGUGCGCUUAUGUGGUUUUUAGUGAUUCAUUUCAUGUAAUUUCAUUGAAGAAAUGAACUUGUAGCUAAUUUCAUAACCAUGAGAAUAGGUAUGGAUUAGUUAUAAGUAUAAUUGAUUCACUACGAAAGUAGGAUUCAAAUGCAUAAGGAAAUUACACCAUAACUAGCCUAGAUGUAGUACUCAAUGAUCCAAAUAUAGCACUUGCAUGAGUAGUUAGGGAUACCACAACCCAAGGAGCUUUUAUUUGUUAUUUUGUAUAAUUUCAAUAGGUUAAAUUUGUUAUAAUUCAUUGAUAGUCUAAAUAAUAGAGAAGCUUUAAUAAUACCGGUAAUUGUUCAAUCUUCCUUGUGGGAUCGACCCGAUAUAUACCCUAAACUACUAGUUGACAUGUAUACUUGCAGUGAACGGGUGUAAUUCGGUUUUUUAACUUGUACGUAUGUAAAAUACCCGUCACAAGCACUUAUCAUUUACCUUGCUUUGACUCUAUCAUAUAUGCAUCUUGUAUCUUUAUAAUCAUUCUUCCACUAUUCUUGUAAUUCAUCAUUACCAAUCACUCUGGAAAGAAUAAAAUGUAAAGGCUACACAUCUACGAAUAAAAAAAUUGUGAUUUUCGGUGUUCAUUUAUGACUAAUACUCUAUUUUUUUAUUCAGGCCAAUAUAGUAUAAAUAGUAUCUAAUAUUGGUUGAAACUUUCUUUUGGUGGUCCUCUGUUUCCUUUUGGUAUAGUGUUUACUUAAUUGUAAUUUUAAGUCAUAUAUAUCGUACACAAAUGCAACGAAACUCUAUACUAGCAGAAAGAGGUAAAAGUUGAUUUGUCAUGGAAGAUUUGUCUAAAUGUAAUUGAAGGGGUCAGGAACUAAGUAAGUUAUAUAUGUUGGUGGUAAAGUAACAAUUAUUGUUAAAAGAUUAUUGUCCUACAUAAUUUUCAUAACAAUUUUUUUAGGUGUGGAGGGGCUUUUCUUUCUCGCCCCCGUUGUACGUCCUUGUCCGACUGAGAUUACUUCAAAAGAAAUAUUUCUGGUCUGAAAAUGAGAAGUUUCAUUUUGUUGCAUACAUAAAUCAUUAUACACUGUCAUUAAAAAAAAAAUUUUUGAUAUGUUACCAAGUCUAAAUGUACGGUAGUCUUUAUUUUUCAUAUUUUUAUUUUACAUAUGAUGUGCAUCCAACUUGCUUUAUGUAAAAUAAUCUUUUACUUAGUUUAAGAAAAUGUAAUCCUUCUCCUAUUUAACCACCACAACUAAUAAAAGGUGACAAAAGCCCUUUUCAUCUAUUUUUUCUUAACAUGGUUAAGAACUUCUGUUUUAUUGAGCAUUAAACUAAAAGUGCAAUUCGCCAUUUAGAUGGUCAAGAUGGAUAAUGGUUUGGCCACAGAAUGGUUAGUUAAGUCCUUAUAAAACGGGAAGAAUGGAGUACCAUGUUAUCAGGAAAGUCAACUUUUGAGCUCUUCAUCAAAUUUACUGCUGAAUCGUAGAUAAACAUAUGUGGAUUGGAUGGAGCAUCAUAUUAUCAGGAAAGUCAACGUUUGAGCUUUUUAUUAUUUUUACAGUAGAUGAAAUUCUUGACUAUCAACUUUGAAUGAUAUAUUUGCUGAGUAUACCAUUCUAUACAAACCUAUUUUGAUAGGUGACCACCCAUUGGCAUUUAAUUCUCUCUUAAAACUUUUUAUGCUCUACCUAACUCUUAGAAAUGUAAUCCUAUUUCAUUCAAACCAUUUAUACGCACAAAAAUCAAAAGCCAAGAUUGAUUUAGCUAUUAAGUGUAAGUUAACCUUAUUAAAGUGAUAGAAGUUCAAAGGUGCAAAGUGGAUUUAAUUCUUUUUUUCAGAACCUUGUCAAACGUGUUUCAUUGCUUUUUAUUUCUUUUUAGGCAAAAGUGUUUCAAGACUUCAAGGUUUUUCAUUAUUCCACUAUAUAACAAAAGAAAUUCUUGACUAUGAACUUUGAAUGAUAUAUCUACCGUGUAUACUGUGAGAACCCGAAAUUUUCUCAUUUUUUUUUCUAGGGUUUUAUUUAUUUAAUGGCUUGUUUUCUGCAUUUUCUUUAGUAGGGAAAUUUUCUAGAUAUUUUUAAUGAGCAGAUAUAGUUUUUGGAUGAUUUUUCUAGUAUCGAAUAGGUUUUGGAAAAUUAAGAGUGUAUACCGGACGUGGGACCCACUAGUGCGAAAAGUUCGGAAAAUUUCGGCCAACUAGGUUAAGUUUUGAAUAUUGGAAUUAAUUUACCGGGUUGUUAAGUAGAUAAGUGGAUUGGUAUAAGAGAGACAAGGUAGGUAAGUAUUUAUUAAAAGGUGACAAGUGUCACCAUAGGAGUGGUUUGACCUUUUUGAACACUAUUCACCCUUUUACCAAUUUGGUUAAAAUAGCUUAAAAAUUACCCAAAAAUCAUCAAAAAAUCCUCCAUGGUGGCCGGCCCUCUCAUUCUCUCUUUCUCUCUCUCUUACUCUAAGCACAAGGAAGAAAACUCUUCAAGUUUGUUCCAAAUCAUCAAAACCAACCAUCCAACCUUGAUUUUGCUCCAUAAAACCACUUAAGGAGGUGUUGGUGAGUUGUUGUGUGAAGUUAUUUGGAAAGUUAAGGUGUCCAAUAGCUCUCUCUCUCUUGUUUUAAGGUAAGUUGUGAAGAACCACCCUCCUCCCUUAAUUGAUGCUUAAAUCAUGCUUAGUGGUAGUAUGAGAUGCAAGUUUAUGGGUUAUUUCUUGAUUUGUGGUUGAAGUGAUGAAGUUUUAUUAUUUUUGGAGAUUUUUUUCUGUUUUAAUAUGAGCAUGAUUGUGUGGCUAUCUAUGAUGAUUAGAAAUGGUAUAUAAUGACUCUAGGAGGUGGAAAAAAUGAUUAAUUGCAACCAAUUUCUGGUUUGGAAGAAAUUUCAGAAAAUUAGGGUUCUUGAGGGAGCAUUCUGCCCGAAUUUUUAGCUCCUAGUUAGAGGCCGAAUUGGCCUUGGUUUAAAACAUGAAAGUUGUAGGGAAUGACAUUUUAGAGGUGCCUACAAAAUUUCAGGUCAAUCGGAGUAGUGUAGAAUGAGAAAAGUCGAAAUUACUAUUGCUGUUCUGGUUUUACCCGAAUGUAAGAAUUGCGCCUGUAAUUGGUUGUUUUGGCUGGAAUUGCUUCCUAAUUGGCUGUUCAGGCCUUCUGAUGAAAUUUAUCCCUGUUUCUUAGCUUUCAGAUGGUUUUGGAAUUUCUGGAUUUGGACUUAAUUAGGCUGAGUUAUGCUGUUUGCAGCAGAAUGCGUUUUGUGAAUCUGUUUUUCCGGUUCUGGUAUAGUAUAAUGCAUUUUUGACCUUGUUACACUCAAAACUGGACAAAAUCGCCUUCUGAAACAUUGUAUCCCUGUCUCUUAGCUUCGAAACGGUGGGUCUUACACCCCCAUCCGAUAAUUGUAGUGCCGUUGGUGCUAAAACCGCAUAAUGACGUCAAAAACUGUUUUUUUAAUUGAAGUCCAAUUGCAUUUCCGGAUUUUUCUGAUUUCCUCUAAUGCUUAUGUAUGCGUAUGGAACCCUAUUUUGGGAGUAUUUGGCAUUGGUUUAUGACUCGUUAUCGAGUCUCAUUGUACUUGUUUGCAUGUUUUAGGGCGUGACGGUAAUUAAAGACGCCUUUUGGGCAGAAGUUCACGAUAUUCCACUUGCUUGCUAUGUGAGUAUACUACUCACUUGUUUGUUUACAAUGUGCUUUAUUAUAUUGAAAUUAACGCCUUGAAGGCUUAUUUGCACUGUUGAAACUGAUUAAAGUGAGGGUGUACUUGAUCGCCCUCACAUCCUUUGAUAUUGUUGAGGAUUGUCUACUGUUUCACUGUAAUGACUGAAUGAUACAUGAAAUACUAAAUUCCAUUCAUGGAAAACUGAUUUGGUGUCGUUUGGACGAGUAUCCAACGGCCUUACUGUUACUACUGAGCUCAACCCCGUUGGUAGUCAAUUGAAUCGAGCCGGCGAGGGCUUGGUCGUGAAAAUUGACAGCCAUGGGGACUGUUAUAUGGAAUCUUGUAGUAGUGAGACUCUCGAUUCCGGUAUACUCGAGUAUUACCAAAUGGCUACUGUUUGGAGUGCGGGCCCGGUAGGGGUAUGUUGGGUGGAAAGAAUGGAAGUGAAGUGAAGUCUACGGUUGGUUAUUCUUAAACAUUGACGGAGGGUCAAUGAGGUUCGAUCAAGAAUGUAAGCGUGGAAAUGGGCUCUUGAGAGCCGUCCGUAUCCUUUUACCGAUUUGUUUUACUUCUUAAUAAAGUAAUUGGAAUGAAGGUUAUGCUUAUGUGAUCUUGGUUGCUUAAGUGAUAGUAUCUCACUGGGCAAUUAGCUCAUGACGGGAUUUUUACUAUCAAUGCAAGUUUAAUUCCGAUUUACACCCGUUGGACUGCAAGUAUACAGGUCGCAAUUGUAGUACAAGAUGUGUAUCGGGUCGAUCCCACGAGGAGCAAUUUAAACAAUUACUAAGCCCUUGUUUUCUCUAUUAUUUAGACUUACAAUUAAUUUGAGCAGAGAAAAUAUAAUGCUGUAAUCUACAACUCUGAUAUACAAAUCUAGUUUAACAAAUGCUAAUGCAAAUAGCGAAAAUUCACUUAAGGAAGAUUCUAGGGAUGUAGAUUCCACUUAUGGCAUAAACAACACAAAUGAAUGGAUUUACUUCUUGCUAUUAUUCUUGUUUAACCAGAGAUUCAUUUCCAAAUUACCAAGUCUCAUUUUCAUGAUGAAAUGGCCUAGAGCAAUAUAGAUUUCCCUAUUUUCAUGGUGAAAUACUACUACUACUCUGUUUUAUUUCAUGAAAUGCUCAAUAAUCCACCUAAGUGUAUCUCUAUUUUCAUGAACAUACAACUCAAGCUCUACUCAUGUGUUUCAAUUGUUAUUACCAAUUCUCAUUGAAUAAUAACACUAUAAACAUGCUAUUGGUGAUCAAUCAAUAACAAGUAAGAACAGCUACACAAGUAGACAAGUUAAUCAAGAUAUAACAAGUGUAAAUCACAUUCAAUUAGUAUUAUUUAGCCAUAAGUUUCAUCUACUCCCUAGAUAUAGAAAAUUAGCUACUCAUGAAUGAUUUAACAAUCAAACUCACAAGUUUAUUAAUGCAAAACAUCAUAAAUACAAGUAUAAGAAAGGUAAAAGAAAGCUUAGCCAAUUGAAGGUAAAGCUCUCCAAUUCCUGCUAUGUUCUUGUACAAGAUGAUUACAAGUGAAAAACCAAAUGCUUCUCUAAGAACUCUUAACUAGAGAGAAAAUUGUUGCAAGAAGGAAAACUAGCUACGUAUGGUAUCCAGGCUUCUCCCCUGUGUUUCUGCAUAAAAGGUGGUAGAAAUUCCAUUCCUCUCACUUCAUAAUUUCCUCCACUCAGAUUUUGUAAAAAGAAGUCAAAGAUAUGAUGUUUCCUUUUGUCCACACUCAUUUGGUCUUCUCUUUUAUUGCAGAAGCAUGUGCCACCGAUUUCUGUCCCUCAAAAUAGCUGGAAAAGUUGUGAGAAAGGUAAAGAAAAACGGCUGUGCCACUUGCUGAAGAGAGAGACAGAUCCGAGCCACGGAUCCGAGGGUGAAAAAUGGAUCCGAGCUCGGAUUAUAGGAUCCGAGGACUUCCCAUGAUGAUCCGAGGUCGGAUCGUCCUGACCUCGGAUACACUCCGCCAGAAGUACAGACGAGGGGUCGGAUCCCUCUUGUACACACGGAUCCGAGCUCGGAUCCGUGUUGAGCAAUUUUCCAGUUUUUCACUUCUUCCCUUUUUCUACAUUUUUGCUCCCAAUUUCUUGUGUACUUUGUCCUCUGGAUGACCCUGACAUUUCUUUCAACUUGUGCAUGAAUUUCAUACAUCAAUUACCUUCACAAUUUCACAAAAUUAACGCAUUAAUCCACUCAUUUAUCAAUUUCUUAACCUUAAACAAUAUUUAAGCAAUUAUCACCAAAAGAGUUCAAAUAUGGCUUUAAUCUUCUCAAAACAUACCAAAAAUUCAUGCCAAAUUCGUACAAAAUGUACGUUAAAUAUUCACUUAUCAAAUUCCCCCACACUUGAAUCAUUGCUUGUCCUCAAGCACUUUUACACAAAACUUACUUCAAUGAUUCAAUAGAUAAAGCAAUAUACGUACUUUUGUCAAAUUUAAUUCCUAGAAAAUCUAGAAACCAAUCAUUAUGCCAUUUCUCAAAUUACACUAAAUACUCAUAAUAUUCAAUUAAAGAAAAAUAAUUAUGCCCUAAUUUUAACAAAUUCAACUCAAUCUCUCAUUCUAUCCUAAUUCUAAAAUAAGUAAAUCACAUAGUCAAUUCUAUGGCCUUCCUCAUUCCAACACUCAACAAUUUAGAGGGAUUUAUUCUCAUUUCAUUUUAUUUAAAUAGUGAAAACGUCUUUUUACGCGAAAAUCAACACUUUUAGGUGAAAAUUCCCGGUUACUCGACAUUUCACUUAUUUAAAUUGCUAAGCCUACUCUUAAUUCCAAUACCUUUUUACGCGAAUGUCGACAUUUGUAAAUGCCAACCCCCGGUUACUCAGUAUGUGAAUCAUUGGAGUAAAAUAAUAUAUUUUUCUUCAUUUUUUUCUUUAUUUUUUUUUUUAAAAUCCGUUUCUUUUUCCCUCUAAAUAUAAAUAAAGGAAGAAUUUGGCCUUUUUUUGACUAUAUCAAUCACUUACUUAUAAAAUUAAGUAAAAAUGAUAAAUAUCAUUAAUCUUGCAAAAAUCUAAGCAUAAUUUUUCUUAUUUAACCAAAUAUACUUUCUAAAAUGUAAAAAUCUUACUUGCAUAAUAAUUCAUUCCAAGCCAAAUAAGAAUUAAACUUUUCCAAAAUACACAUAGCAUUUUAUCCAAUGGAAGAAUUAAACACUUAAAAUUUUAACAUUUUGGCCAUUUAAUUGGAAGAAUUGCAAUGAAAUAUUGGAAAUUAUUUUAGAAAAAUUUUGACAGAGUUUCCCCAUAAAAAUAGAUGAAACUCCCUGCCAACAACCUCAAUUUCACAAAAAUUAUCCUCAUGACAAUAUCUCCAAAUAUAAUUCCAACAUUUUUAAGCUAUAAACAACUAAAAUCAUGCAUUUCAAGACACAAUCGCCCAUAAGAUAAAGUAAUCCCUCCCCACACUUAAAAUCUACAAUGUCCUCAUUGUAGAGGAAGGUAAAAGAACUGAAACUUCCCUCAAAUAGGUGGUGAUGCCAUUUUGAAGCCCUUAAUCAUCACGAUCAUCCAUUUUCUGUCCAAAAUGAGACAACAAGGGUACCAAAUACCAUAAGUAGCACAAGAUGAUUCAACUAAAAGAAAAAUCUACAAGUGUGUCUUAACAAAAGAAAAGAAAAAUAAAUAAAGACAUAAAAGAUCAAAUCCGCUAAGUAGCGUCAUGGCUGCUCGGAACGAGGGUCUACUGCCUCCUCGGCUCCAUGAGGACCCUGUGAGGUACCAAUAUGGCCCUCCUCCUGAUGAGGUGUCGGAGUAGGGGACCGUCGGAUAUGGAAAUGAUCCUCGAUCGCACGAAGGCGGCGAUCAUGUCGGUCGAGGCGCUCAGUCAUCAUCCGCUCCGUCUGGUCAAUGCGCUCGACGACUCGCGUCUCCAUACAGCAAAUAGCAUUGAGAAGCUCUUGCCACUUGGAGCGCGGUUGAGGAGGUGGUCGCGGAAUCGGAGGAGGAAGAGUCUGCUGUGCCUCCGUCUCUUGAGUUUCCGCUUGUGGUUCAGUGUGAGGCGGAGGCUGAGUGGAAGUCGAUGCUUCUCCUGUGUCCCGGACCAAAGCAGCUCCAAAAUCCGUAGAAAUCAAGGAUUUGAGUAUAGAAGCGUUUACCUCCUCGGCCGACCUAGUUACCACCGAUCUCUCGGUUCCAAGAGGAACCUUGAGCUUCUCAAAAACGAGGGAUAGCAGUCGGGGAAAUCCGAAGCAAGUCUCGCCGGCCCUCAUGCGAGCUGUGGUCCGCAUAUAACUGAUGAUAAUGCUGGGUAGAGGAAUACCAGUCAACUGCCUACCACAAUCCAUGUAUCAUCUUAUCCAGAAAAUAGAGAUCGCUAUUUCGGAUCUCCCGUUUACCACUCUUUUUCGGCACCACAUUAAAGGCAAAAAGAUAGAAGAUCAGGUGGUAACGAUGCUCAAAGGAGUCGGCAUAUACCGUGAGUUUUUUCGAAGUUCCUCGCUCACGGUACUGACCCUUUAGACGCUCCACGGCUUCUCCCACUUGCCAAGGGUCUCGAGCUUUGAAUUCCUUGGUCAGUUUGACAUCUUCGCCUUCGUCUAUUAGUUGAACGAAGCGUCGCAGUGCCUCUCGAUUGAGAACCACUUUCCUGCCUCGAACCCACGAGACGAUGAGGUUGCCACUGUGGCUCUGCUUGUUCUCCACAUUGGCGUAGAACUCCCGGACCAAGUUGGGGUAGUAGUACUUGGGCAACUGAAGGAUGUUCUCCCAUCCAAGUCGCUUGAAUGCUGUCGAAAUGUGGUAGUGCGCAUCCACCUCCGGUGCCAAGUGUUUCUCAAUGAUGAUCUCCUUGGCCAGGCCAGCUUCAUACCACUCUUGGUUUUCGAGCGAUGUGAAUCGUGUGGUAUCGUAGUCUGGCGGUGGCUCAUCACGGCUAGUGGAUGCGGUUUUCCGGCGAGACCGAGGUGGUGGCUCAGGCGAAGGAGAUUCUUCCUCAGGCGACUCCUCAUGCAAAGAAGGUGUAUGUUCUUCACUUGACGAUGGUGUAGGAGUACGAAUACGAGCCCUCCUUGUACGAGCCAUAGCACCUAUAAACAAGAUGAGUAUUUAUUAGAAACGAUAGAAAUCUCUCAUACAUGUUAAUAGGAAUUUAAGAAAAUUUCGGCAGAGUUUCCCCUUGAAAAAGGGCUAAACUCCCUGCCAAAAUGUACCCAAAAUUAAACAAAUAAACUUCCUAACAAUUCUCAAAUCCAAUUCCCACACUUAGAAAGGAUAUUAGCAGUAAGAAAUCAUUUCAUGCAUAUUAAGUGCAAACAAUUUUAAAUUAUAUCCAUUUGCAAGAAUGAACACUCAAACACUUGAGAAUAUCUCCAAUCCAAUUCAUAACACUCGUUAACACUUAAGUUAACUACACAUGAGUCCCAAUUCAUCCAAAUACUAAUUAUUUCAAGUAAAAGUGGUUCAAUGUGCUUAACUUGAUCGGGAACACACACUUUUACCCAAUGGGCUAUUGCUUAGUGAUAGCAUAUCAUUUUCAAUUGGUAUAACAGUGAUUUAUACCUCUCGGAACAAGCAAAAUUCACAAGUUUAAAUCACUAAAAUGCUCAAACCCAAAAAUUGAGAAGCAAAUCUCAAAACUAUCACCAAAUCCAUAAUUCUCUCACAAAUAAGCAUGAAAAUAAUUAUAACAGCUGAUUUGAGCACAAUGUAGCACAAUUAUAUCAAGAAUUUUCAAAAAUUAAGCUAUUAGCAAAAUAUAUUGAAAAACUAAAAAUAUACAAAAAUGAGAGAUAUAAAAUGUCACAGAAAUUCGCAAAUUUGUUACCUCAAAUAGAUGGAGUGAUGAUGGAGGAUGAUAAUGAUGCAAAAAUGGAGAACAACCAAGCCCAAAUUCGACUCAAAUUGCAAGAUUUCAAUUCGGCCCUAAUUUGCUUCUUGAAGAUCAAAACCCCUCAAUUUGAUGUUUUUGAUUCCAAAUUGUUGAGGGUUAAUGCUCACAAGAGGUUAGGGAAGGUUUUUAUUGUGAAAAAUUGGAAUUUUAUGGAUGAAAUGGAAGAUUGGAGGAAAGGGGAUAGGGUUUCGAGAGAGAGAGAAAAGAAAUCUGGAAAAUGAGGAACCGAGGCCUCGUUUCCCUUCUUAUCGCGAACGGAUCCGAGGUCGGAUCAGUUCUGGAAGGCCUCGGAUCCGACAGGGCUCGGAUCAGUCUCAACAGAAACACAGACGAGCCCUCGGAUCUAUCUGGGUUGGAAACGAUCCGAGCUCGGAUCUAUUGAUCCGAGGUCGUAUCUGUCUGGGUUUUCGGAUCCGGCUCGGAUCUAGAUUUCUGCACUUACUGCAGAAACUGCAAUUUUUUUAACUUUUUCUCCCUUUUCCGGCCAAUUCCAAAACACACAUUGGACAAACUUUUUAUCAAUUCUAACCUCCCACGCACAUGCAAUAUACCUUAAACACAAUAUCCAUCCUCUCAAAACACAACAAACACAUUUACAUUGAAAAUCGAGGGGUGAGGUUCUUUGAUCAUUUUUGCAUUUUUACAUCAAAAUGGCAUUUUUGAGCAUUAAAUACACAUCAAAUGAAUCCAUGAACCUUUAUAACCAUAAGGUCGUUGGCAGUAUUGGAGUGGGGGAACUUUUGCAGGGGUGGGGAAGGGGGGUGGCGGGCAGAGGGAGAGAGAGGGAGAGCUUUUGCAGGGGUGGGGAGGGGGGUUGCGGGCAGAGGGGAGCGACGGGGGAGCUUUUGCAGGGGGCGGCGGAGGUAACGGGGAAGAAGAAGAAGAAGAAGAAGAAGAAGAAAAAGGAAAGAAAGAAAAAGAAAAAGAAAGAGAAAGAGAAAAAAAAAAGAAAAGGAAAAAAAAUUUCACCUUCACCUUACAAAAAUUUCUACAAAAUUUUUUCAAAAACUUCUACAGUACACUACAGUAAAGUUUUAGACAAAUUCCCAAAAAACUCAGGUUCCAAACAGGCCCCAUGAUCUCACCAAAACUCACUUGAAUUGCACAAUGUAUGUAUAGGCAUAGAAAUUUUAAGCACUUAAAACACAAUUUGGUAAGAAAAACUCCCUGCCAACAUGUUCUUCAAGUGCACCUCCAAAAUGGAUGAUAAAACUCCCGUAUCUCCUACAAACAAGUGAAAUACAUCUAAUUAGUCAAUUAAAUUACACCAAAAUGUAAGAAACACAUAAAAACACACAAAAACACGAUUAUUAUUGGGUUGCCUCCCAACAAGCGCUUUUGUUUCUAGUCGUUGGCUCGACUCUCCUAUAACUUCUUUAAUUCUCCUUUGCAUUUCCUAAGGAGUAAAUUACCCCUUUAGGAACUUUUUCUCCUGCCAAAUAGGGCUUCAAUCUUUGUCCAUUUACUUUAAAUGGAGAACCAUUUUCUCCUUUUAUUUCCACUGCUCCAUAAGGAAAUACUUGAGUUACUUCAAAUGGUCCCGACCACCUUGACUUUAAUUUUUCUGGAAAUAACCUCAAGCGUGAGUUGAACAAAAGUACAUGUUCCCCUACCUGAAAUUUUUUAGGAAUAAUAUGCUUAUCAUGCCAAUAUUUGAUCUUUUCUUUAUAAAUUUUGGCAUUUUCAUAUGCAUGUAGUCGGUGUUCCUCCAAUUCACUUCGCUCAAGUAAUCGCUUUUCUCCUGCAAAAUUAAAAUCCAUGUUAAUAGAUUUAAUUGCCCAAUAAGCUUUGUGCUUAAUCUCCACAGGUAGGUGACAAGCUUUCCCAUAGACUAAACGAUACGGCGACAUCCCUAGGGGUGUCUUAAAUGCCGUUCGGUAAGCCCAUAGUGUAUCAUCUAGCUUUGUAGCCCAAUCCUCUUGAUUUAUUCACAGUUUUCUCCAAAAUGAGCUUUAUCUCUCUAUUAGCUAACUCUGCUUGUCCAUUGGCUUGAGGAUGAUAUGGAAGUGAUGUCUUGUGCCUACAACCAUAUUUAAACAAUAAGGAAUCCAAUUGUCUGUUACAAAAAUGUUUCCCUUCAUCACUUACUAUGGCCUUGGGUAUACCAAAUCUACUGAAAAUAUUCUUUUUAAGGAAUCUAAGUACAAUCUUAGAGUCAUUAGUAGGUGAAGCGAUUGCUUCAACCCAUUUAGAAACAUAAUCCACUGCUACUAAGAUGUACUUAUUAUUAAAAGAACUAGGAAAUGGUCCCAUAAAAUCAAUACCCCAUACAUCAAAUAACUCAACUUCCAAGAACGUAGUCAGGGGCAUUUCAUUUUUUCGAGAUAUAUUUCCAGUUCUUUGGCAUGCAUCACAAUUUUUAACAUAUUCCCUAGCAUCUCGGUACAUAGUUGGCCAAUAAAAUCCUGAUUGCCAUACCUUUGCCACAGUCUUUGAAGUACUGAAAUGACCACCUGUUUCAAGGUUAUGACAAUGAUAUAAAACAUUAUGUACCUCAUCUUCAGGAAUACAUCUACGUAUCAUACCAUCGGCACAAUGUCUGUAUAGCAAUGGUUCCUCCCAAAAGUAACUUUUGACGUCAUGUAAGAAUUUCUUCUUUUGAUGAUAAUUAAACCCUUUUGAAUCUCUCCACUGACCAAGUAGUUAGCAAAAUCUGCAUACCAUGGAGAAUUUCUAAGUGCUAGGACAAACUCAUCCGGAAAAUUCUCUUGAAUUGGAACCUGAUCUUUGAUUGGGAUAUAUUCCAAACGUGAUAAAUGAUCUGCAACUAGAUUCUCCGAUCCCUUUUUGUCUUUUAUCUCCACAUCAAAUUCCUGCAAUAAAAGAAUCCACCGAAUUAGUCUAGGUUUUGCAUCCUUCUUAUGCAGCAAAUAUUUAAGAGCUGAAUGGUCCGUAUAUAUAAUAACUUUAGAUCCUACUAAAUAGGAUCUAAAUUUGUCCAAAGCAAAUAUCACUGCCAAUAGCUCUUUUUCUGUCGUUGCAUAAUUGAGUUGUGCCUCAUUUAGCAACUUGCUAGCAUAGUAAAUGACGUGCAAUCGUCCUUCUUUCUUUUGUCCCAAAACUGCUCCAACCGCAUAAUCACUUGCAUCACACAUCAAUUCAAAUGGUAGUGACCAAUCGGGUGAAGUUAUAAUUGGGGCCGAAAUCAAUUCCUUUUCAACCUUUCAAAUGCAACCAAACAAUUGUCAUCAAAUUGAAAAGGAGUAUCUUUACAUAAUAAAUCACAUAAUGGCUUUACUAUUUUAGAAAAAUCUUUAAUAAAACGUCUAUAAAAGCCAGCAUGUCCUAAAAAACUCCUUAUCCCCUUGACAUUGCUUGGGGGUGGCAAUUUUUCGAUAACUUCUAUUUUGGCUUUAUCCACCUCAAUUCCCUUGGAGGAAAUCUUGUGCCUAAGACAAUUCCUUCUUUUACCAUAAAAUGGCAUUUCUCCCAAUUCAGUACAAGAUUUGUUUCCUCGCAUCUCUGCAAAAUCAAUUCCAAAUUAUGAAGACAAUGAUCAAAAGAUGAACCAUACACAGAAAAAUCAUCCAUAAAUAUCUCCAUAAUUUUCUCAAUAUAAUCAGAAAAAAUAGCCAUCAUGCAUCGUUGAAAAGUUGCAGGAGCAUUGCAUAAACCAAAUGGCAUUCUUCUAAAGGCAAAAGUGCCAUAAGGACAUGUAAAUGUGGUCUUCUCUUGAUCCUCUGGAGCUAUAGCUAUUUGAUUAUAUCCUGAAAAACCAUCAAGAAAACAGUAAAAUUCAUAUCCAGCUAUUCGCUCCAAUAAUUGAUCAAGAAAUGGUAGGGGAAAAUGAUCUUUUCUUGUUACCGUAUUUAACUUACGAUAAUCAAUACACACUCUCCACCCUACCACAAGUCUAGAUGGAAUUAAUUCAUCAUUUUUACCCACGAUUGUAGUUAUUCCACCUUUCUUUGGUACCACAUGAAUUGGACUAAUCCAAACACUAUCGGAGAUAGGAAAACUAUACCUGCAUCAAGCCACUUAAGAAUUUCAUUUCUUACCACCUCUUUCAUGUUUGGAUUGAGUCUUCUUUGUGUUUCCACCACUGGUUUGCAAUUGUCCUCCAAUAAAAUGCGAUGCAUGCAUAUAGAAGGACUUAUACCUUUAAUGUCUGAAAUUGUCCAUCCAAUUGCCUUCUUACGCUUCUUAGAACUCUUAGCAACUUUGCACACUGUCAUCAUCAAGGUCAGCACUAACAAUUACAGGUAAAGUCUAUUUUCUCCAAGAAAUUCAUACCUUAGAUGAGUUGGAAGUGGCUUAGCUCUAACCUUGGAGGUUCAAUUUCUGAAGGUUGUGAAAACCCUUUUCCUUGGCCAAGACUUUCAUACAAAUUACCCCUUUUAUAAGGUGCUUGAAAAUCCAAGUACUUGGCCAAUUCUUCAAUUUCUUCACAAACAUCUUCUUGCUUACCUAAACUCAUUAAACAAUGCUCAAGAGGAUCUAAGUCAAGGUUGACUUGACUCAUCUCUUGGGUUAGUUUAUCAAUUGUGCCAAUAGAAUAAGCAUGAUCGGUAAAAGAAGGGUAUUUUUCCAUUUCAUUCAAAUUAAAUUCUACUUCUUCUUCACCUACUUGAAACUUAAGCUUGCCAUUUUUUACAUCAAUAAUAGUACCUGCAGUAGCUAGAAAUGGUCUACCUAGAAUAAUUGGCAUAGAUAUAUCUUCUUCCAUAUCUAAUACCACAAAAUCCACUGGAAUGAUAAAUUUUUGAACUUUUAUCAAUACAUUCUCCAACACUCCCAAUGGAUAUCUAAUAGACCGAUCCGCUAGUUGCAAAGUAAUAUUUGUGCGUUUAAGCUCAUGCAAACCCAAUUGUCUAGCCACCGUUAAAGGUAUUAAUGAUACACUAGCACCAAGAUCACACAAUGCUUUAGAAAAAUCAACGUUACCUAUGGUGCAAGGUAUAGAAAAACUCCCUGGAUCCUUCAACUUCGGUGGUAGCUUAUUUUGAAUAAUUGCACUACAUUCCUCCGUUAAUGCUAUUGUUUCGCAGUCUUCCAACUUUCUUUUUCUAGUCAUGAUUUCCUUGAGAAAUUUCGCAUAAGACGGAAUCUGCAAAAUAGCAUCGGCAAAAGGAAUGUUAAUGUGCAAUUGUUUGAAAAGUUUAACAAAUUUUUCAAAAUCUUUAUCAAACUUAUUUUGCUUUAAUCUUUGUGGAAAUGGAACCGCAGGGGUAUUGGAAUGGUAGCGGAAGAUGAUGGUUGAUUUUCUCUUGAUUCUCCCGGCUAUUUUCCUCCACUAUCGCCUCUUGGUUCCUCUGCUUUUCUUCUUGUUUUUCAUUCUCAUCUUUCUCAACUUCCAUCACUGGAGGAUCUUCUAAUUGCUUACCACUACGAAGAGUAAUGGCUUUCACAUGCUCCUUAGGAUUGACCUCUGUUUUGCUAGGUAAUUCUCCUUGAUUUCGAUUAUUCAAAGAACUAGCAAUUUGACCAAUUUGGACCUCUACAUUCCUGUACAUUGUAGUGAGUUGGUCCAACCUUCCUUCUACUCGCUCAAAUCUGUCCGAAGUAACUUUUGCAGCUUUUCCACUGCCAUCUCCCAACCAGGUUUAGUUUCAGCUUGUUGUUGCCUUGAUUGAAAUCCCGGUGGAUUGGUUGGCCUUGGUUGAUUUCCUUGAUCCUUCCAUCCAAAGUUUGGAUGAUUUCUCCACCCCGGAUUGUAAGUAUUCGAGUAGGGGUUAUUUUGAGCAUUACGAUUGUAAUUAUUGACGAAUUGUACCUGCUCAGAAUCAACACACUCAUUAGUAUCAUGUUCACCUCCACAUAUAGAACAACAUGCUACAUGUGCAUUAGAUGAACUUGGACCAACUCCACCUUGUCUACUUAGCAAUUUCAUCACAUUAUUCAUUUGAGCACUCAGCAUAUUGAGAGUGUCCAUUUCUAUCAUACCUGCGUGACGUCUUGUAUUACCUCUCUCAUUGGCCCAUUGGUAGUUAUUUGCUGCCAUUUCUUCUAUCAAAUUAUGAGCUUCUUGGGGUGAUUUACCCAUUAAAGCUCCACCUGCAGCUGCAUCGAUCAUAGUUUUAGUAGAAAAUAAACCAUUAUAGAAGGUUUGUAUGAUUAACCACUCCGGCAGUCCAUGAUGUGGACAUUUCCGAAGCAAUCUCUAAACCUUUCCCAUGCCUCAUAUAAUGAUUCACCUUCCAAUUGGCUAAAACUAGUGAUAUCCAUUCUAAGCUUAGCAGUCUUACCUGGUGGAAAAUACUUAUUUAAGAAUGCUCUUGAUAAAUCAUCCAGUGAAAGUAUUAGGAGCAUGAGAGUGUAGCCAAAGUUUGGCCUUAUCUCUCAAUGAAAAUGGGAACAAUCUUAGCCUUAUAGCAUCAUCACUAACUCCAUUCAUUUUAAUUGUAUCACAAAUUUCCAAGAAUGUAGCUAAGUGUGUAUUAGGAUCUUCUACUGCAUUACCUCCAAAUUGAGAUUGUUGAACCAUUUGGAUAAGUGAUGGUUUAAUCUCAAAGUUGUUAGCAUUUACCGAGGCCUUGCUAUGCGUUUGUGAACCUUGUGUUCCCGGUAAGCAAAAUCUCGCAGAACUCGCCUAUUUGGUCAUUUUCCGCCAUUUCUUCUUCAAAUGGUAAUUCUAUCAAGAUAUCUUCUAUUGGCUGCCAAACCUCUUGUUCCUCUUGAUGCAGUGUAUUCCUCCUUUGUCUCCGCAAUGUUCUUUCAAUUUCAGGAUCAAAAGUGCAACUUCUCUGAUUUGAUCGGUGCAUACACUACAAAUAAAAAUAAGAGAAAUUUUUCAGUUUUAAUUCAACAACUUGAUAAAAACAAUGAAAAUGUCUAAAUUAAUAGAGAUGACUAGGCCCUAAUAUUGCCGCUCCCCGGCAACGGCGCCAAAAACUUGACGGGUUUUUAUAUCAAUGCAAGUUUAAUUCCGAUUUUACACCCGUUGGACUGCAAGUAUACAGGUCGCAAUUGUAGUACAAGAUGUGUAUCGGGUCGAUCCCACGAGGAGCAAUUUAAACAAUUACUAAGCCCUUGUUCUCUCUAUUAUUUAGACUUACAAUUAAUUUGAGCAGAGAAAAUCUAAUGCUGUAAUCUACAAAUCUGAUAUACAAAUCUAGUUUAACAAAUGCUGAAUGCAAAUAGAGAAAUUUCACUUAAGAAGAUUCUAGGGAUGUAGAUUCCACUUAUGGCAUAAACUACACAAAUAAUGGAUUUACUUCUUGCUAUUAUUCUUGCUUAACCAGAGAUUUAUUUCCAAGAUUACCAAGUCUCAUUUUCAUGAUGAAAUGGCUUAGAGCAAUAUAGAUUUCCCUAUUUUCAUGGUGAAAUACUACUACUACUCUGUUUUAUUUCAUGAAAUGCUAAUAAUCCACCUAAGUGUAUCUAUUUUCAUGAACAUACAACUCAAGCUCUACUCAUGUGUUUCCAUUGUUAUUACCAAUUCUCAUUGAAUAAUAACACUAUAAACAAGCUAUUGGUGAUCAAUCAAUAACAAGUAAAACAGCUACACAAGUAGACAAGUUAAUACAAGAUAUAACAAGUGUAAAUCACAUUCAAUUAGUAUUAUUUAGCCAUAAGUUUCAUCUACUCCCUAGAUGAAAGUUUAGCUACUCAUGAAUGAUUUAACAAUCAAACUCACAAGUUUAUUAAUGCAAAACAUCAUAAAGUACAAGUAUAAGAAAGAUAAAAGAAAGCUUAGCCAAUUGAAGGUGAAGCUCUCCAAUUCCUGCUAUGUUCUUGCACAAUAUGAUUACAAGUGAAAACUCAAAAAAUGCUUCUCCAAGUACUCCUAUCUAGAGAGAAAACUUGUUGCAAGAAGGAAAACUAGCUACGUAUGGUAUCCGCUUCUCCCUGUGUUUCUGCAUAAAAGGUGGUAGAAAUUCCAUUCCUCUCACUUCAUAAUUUCCUCCACUCAGAUUUUGUAAAAAGAAGUCAAAGAUAUGAUGUUCCUUUUGUCCACACUCAUUUGGUCUUCUCUUUUAUUGCAGAAGCAUGUGCCACCGAUUUCUGUCCCUCAAAAUAGCUGGAAAAGUUGUGAGAAAGGUAAAGAAAAACGGCUGUGCCACUUGCUGAGGAGAGAGACAGAUCCGAGCCUCGGAUCCGAGGAGUGAAAUGGAUCCGAGCUCGGAUUAUAGGAUCCGAGGCUUCCCAUGAUGGAUCCGAGGUCGGAUCGUCCUGACCUCGGAUACACUCCGCCAGAAGUACAGACGAGGGGUCGGAUCCCUCUUGUACACACGGAUCCGAGCUCGGAUCCGUGUUGAGCAAUUUUCCAGUUUUUCACUUCUUCCCUUUUUCUACAUUUUUGCUCCCAAUUUCUUGUGUACUUUGUCCUCUGGAUGACCCUGACAUUUCUUUCAACUUGUGCAUGAAUUUCAUACAUCAAUUACCUUCACAAUUUCACAAAAUUAACGCAUUAAUCCACUCAUUUAUCAAUUUCUUAACUCUUAAACAAUAUUUAAGCAAUUAUCACCAAAAGAGUUCAAAUAUGGCUUUAAUCUUCUCAAAACAUACCAAAAAUUCAUGCCAAAUUCGUACAAAAUGUACGUUAAAUAUUCACUUAUCAGCUCACACCGUUCCUUUUGUUUUCCUUACAGGCAUAUGAUACUUUGGAAUGAUUCUUGCUAGUUGGUUGCCGAAUGAGCUAAAUGAAUGUCUCUUUUGUAUAGCUUAUGAAUCGAAACCCUAAAUGUACCUUUAGGGCCGUUUCACUUUGGAUUUUGGCAAACCAUACAUGUAGUAACUUUUGUAUCACUUUUGUAUGCCAUUUUGGCUUGUAAAUACUAAAUGUUAUGUUGUAUAUGUAUUUUGAUGUUUGACUGGGUUCUGACGGGUCGGAUACUAUUCGUGGCCGACUCCGGAUUUCAUUUUUUACUUGGGGUUAUUUUGGGGCAUUUUGACUUGUUUACGCGCGUUAUAAGUUCCGGAACGCAAUAGAUCGCUUUAAACUGCACCGUUAGUCCUGGCGAGAGCUAGCAGGCAGCCCGCUAACCCCUUUGGUUCGCCUUAGGGAAAGUGGGCUGUCACAUAUACCACACCAUUCUACACCUACGUGAUAAGUGGCCCCAUUGAGGUUUAAUUCUCUUUUAAAACCUUUUAAUCUCUACCUGACUCUUUGAAAUGCAAUCCUAUUUCAUUUAAACCAUUCAUCUAUAGAAAAAUCAAAAGUCAAGUUCGAUUUAUCUGCUAAGUAUAAGUUUGGAAUCCUGUUAAAGUGGUACAAAUUCAAAGAUGCAAAGUUGAGUUAAUCAUUUUCCAGAACCUUGUAAACUGUAUUCAUUUUUUUUGGGUAAAUGUGUUUCAGGUUUUCAAGGUUUUCCAUUAUUACACUAUAUAGCAAAAGAAAUUAGGAAAUGGCAGUAGGCGGGGGGAAUUUCCCUUGCCCCUCAGUCUCCUACCCGUCCCGCUACCCCACGGAAGCACGUCGUCGGGCUAAUAAAAAUUUGUUAUAUAAUUUCAUUGUAGUCAAUUUGAGCAAAGAAUCAAAUACUUAAAUGCCAACACAUGACCAAGUCAUUAUCCAUUGUAAUUUCAUAAUUGAAACCCAUAAAAAACAAUUAAACAAAAGUAUAUUUGAAUACAAUCCACAUGAUGAAACAAAUAUAACUAAAAUAGUCAAGUUUUCACUUUUGAGAAAACUACAAUCAUUAAGUCAUUAUUGUGUUUUUUUUUCUGAGAAAAAAGUGUUAUGUGUUAAGUGUAAUUACGAAUUUAGUAUAAUUGUAUAUAGUAAUUUAAUAUAACUAAUUAAUAAUUUCUAUUAGUAGACAUGUACUAUUAUUAGUAUUUGAUAAUAUCAACUAUAUUACAAAACUAAUCAUUUAUAUUACAAAUACUAAUAUGCAUUAUAUAAUAUUUAUAACUAAUAUAUAUCAUUAUUAUAAAUUUGUAACAAAUUAAAUUAAAUAUUAUAUAUACAUAUAAGAUUUAAUUUUUUUAAUGGGUGGUGAGGCGGCGGGGUUUACUCCCUUGCCCCUGCCCCAUUUUUUAACGGCGGAAAAAUCCCUCCCCGGCCCAUUAGCCGUGAUCAUCCGACCUAGUUGCCAUCCAUAAAAGAAAUUCUUGGCUAUCAACUUUGAUGAUAUAUCUACUGAGUAUAUCGCACCAUUCUACUCAAACCUAUUGUGAUAGGUGGCCACCCAUUGAUUUUUAAUUCUCUCUUAAAACUUUUUAUGCUCUACCUAACUCUCAGAAAUGUAAUCUCAUUUCAUUUAAACCAUUUAUAUGCAGAAAAUCAAAAGUCGACAUUGAUUUAUCUGCUAAGCACAAGUUCGGAACCUUGUUAAAGUGGUACAAGUUUGAAAAUGCAAAGUGGAGUUAAUCCUUUUCCAGAACCUUAUUAAAUGUGUUUCAUUUUGUUAGGUAAAUGUGUUUCAUGUUAACAAGGUUUUCCAUUAUCCCAUUAUAUAUGAAAAGAAAUUCUUAGGCUAUGAACUUUGAAUGUAUAUAUGCUGAUUACACCACACCAUUCUACACAAACCUAUUGUGAUAGAUGGCCACAUUGAUGUUUAAUUGUCUUUUAAAACUUUUUGUGCUAUACCUAACUCCUUGACUCCAUCCUAUAAAUAUGGUCAUUGAACAAAUUAUCUUCACCAUCUAACAUUUGUUUCUUCCUUCUUUGUUUUUCCAGCAAGCCUUUCAACAUACAAAAUGGCAAAAGGUUUCAGCUUUAACAUCCAUCCAAAUUUCCCUUUUGCUAUUAGUAGCAAUCUUUGUUUGUUCAGAAGCUAAUCAUCGUGACCGUGAUUAUUGCUGCGGUGGAAAGGAAACAAAGAUUACUGUGUACCUUCAACUGUUUUCAGGCGGACCAAAUGCCACCACUGUCGCAGUUGCCGGCGCCCCUGGUAGGCCGAGAACUCCCACCGAAUUUGGAACCAUUUAUGUUAAUGAUUCUCCCUUUACAGAAAGCAUCAGCAUCAAUUCUCCAACUGUUGGUCGAAGCCAAGGCCUUUAUGUAGCUUCAUCCCGUGAUGGACUUUACUCAUUUGACCCAUUUUCCUUCAUGUUCACCGACGGACAAUACAACGGUAGCACUUUGGAAUUCCAAGGACUAGGAUAUAGCAUACAAAAUACUUCGGUGACUGAAUUUUCAGUACUUUCUGGCACCAAAAUAUUUAGGUAUGUUCGUGGAUAUGCAACCUUUCUGGCAGUUCGACAAAUACCAGCAAGGAAUUAUACGGUUACAAUGGCCAAUAUUACCAUAAGGCGAUGCUGAGGAGGAUGGGAAGUUUGAAUAAUAAAGUGAAAACCAAUAAUUAAGAAAGCCAAUAACAGAUAUUUAGUUUUAUUUCAGACCAUAUACGUACGUGGUGGUCUCUGUUUCUUUAUGUACUUCUGGUUCAUUCGACUAUCUUAAUAAGAACUCCAUCCGGGAGGAUGGGAAAAAAUAAAUAAUAAAAGUUGUUAAAAUAUGUCUUUGACAUCCAUGUGAAAUCAUUUAUGGUGCUGUCAAAUUUUGAGAGCUACAUGGACAUUUUUUUUUUUUACCUCUUGAGCAUCCUAGCAUAUAGCCCAACUAUUGAGUUGUAUGUUUUAUUAGUCAAAUUCGUAGCAGCCAUUUCCAUUCAAAUACUAUUCGUUCGAAGGCUUUCACAUGGAAGAAUUUCUCCUAUGAAUAGAGGGUUUGGCAAGGCAGUUGGUGUGGCACUUCUUUUUACGUCUAACCUCUUCUCAUUUUGAGUUUGCGUUUUUUUGUUUUCCAUUCACACUGUUGCUUUUCCUCUAGCAUUAAAUGCUGAUUGUCCUUUCAAACAACCCUAGUUUUGUUUGGAUUUUGAUAUGAAAAAAAAAAUCACACAAGUUUACUUUAAUCAUCUAUUUUAUUCUGCGGAACUCUAACCCAAUGAUGCUGCUCAUGUAUUGCCAAACAAAAACAGCAUAAUCAUCUUUCAUUGCCAACACACAAGCUGGGACAUUAAAGUUGAAGAUAAUUUUCGAAGCUUUGGUUGGAAAAAAAUGCUACGAUACCAUGUUAUUAGUCCAUGCUAUAUUCUCAUAAUUUCUCAUUUAUGAAUGAACGAAUAUCGGAUGCACAUUUUUUAUGAUGAACUUGUAAAAGUUCUUGCAAGAUAAAAUAAUAACCAUAAAAAUUACACUUUUACUGUUCAAUACUAUACUCAUAUUCUGCUACUUCAGCACAUAUAUGCUAUAUUUUUAUUAACAUUAAACUACAUUUUAUACAGUAACCUACCAACAAUUCUCUCCAAUUAUCCUAAUUUAAUAAAAAAUAACUAGCUCACAAUUAUUUUACAUAUUAUAAAAUUAUUUCCAACAUCAAUACUUACAAAGCAAACUUUACAAAAUAUUUUCAGACAAACAUACUAUUAACACGGGUCAUAUGCUCACCCUGUGCGUAGCGCAGCCUCAGACUAGUAGAAAUUAUAUUGAAAGUCAACUAGCAAUAUAAAUUAUUGCUUCAAGUCUAUUUGCUUUAAAACAUUAAUCAUUUACGCAUACAUUAAGAGAUCAUAUAAUUCUUUCUGGCUGCGUUUUGAUUUUAAAAGCAUGGCUUUGACCUUUCUGUUCUUAAUUGUUGCUUGGUUCCUUUAAAUAUUCUCUUUUACAUCAUUUGUUCUCGGAUCAGCAUCUAGAAACUUGGAUAGUGAAAGUUAUAUUGUACCAAUGAAGUACAAAGUCCUCAAUCAGGCAGUCUUCAAGAUAUCAGUGUUGAGUCGUUCACGUAUUGAUCAGUGUUGAUUGUUCAAAGUAAUAUUUAACAAUUCAUCCUUUCUUUCUUCUCGUAAUCCUCACCUUUAAAGGUUUGCGGAGUUGAAGACGGUGACGUACUAAUUAAUCAACUGCAAAGUCCAAAGGAUUUGACUAACGGUUACAUACUCUCGUUAUAAGUGUUUAUAUUUUUACAAGACUAUAAUUAAUUCGGGAAAGCCUCGAAAUGCUAGGAUUGUAGUAACGGUAAAUAUAUGUAUUCAUAUAAUAAGUUAUGUGUAAUUUAAAUAUACUAACGAGUUACUACUAGGCACCCAUUAGAAAAUCAAAGUUCAAAUAAUAGAAAAUAAUUUGUUUUUUCAUUAUCGAAUCAAAUAAGGAUUUAGCCUAACAUUUAGGACAAAUAGUGGAUAACAUUUAGGACAAACCACAAUAACAAAAAAGAAAUUUUAUCUAAUGAUACAAUAUUUUAUAUUCAUUCUCAAGUUAAAUAGAGAUUUAGCAUGAAGAAAUUACUGAAGUAAAGAAUUGAUUUUAAAAGGUAGGAUAUGGGGUGUAGCUGAUUGGUGAAAAAAUCAAGCUUUACUUUUGCUUAUGGUGUUAGUUACUAACUACUAGGAUUAGAUUCCGGAGGUUGAAUUUGAUAAAGUUUUUGUACUUACGCCCUGUUUGAUAACCCAAUUCAACAUUUAAAUUUAAUAGAUUCGAUUUUAACAUAUUUAAAUGCACUUAAUAACUAAAAAUUGAACAUUGAAUUAAUUAAUAUUAAACAAAAUUGCUUCCAAAUAAUGAUAUAAACUAUUUACUUAUCACUUAUUAUGAUAUAUAUUCAAAUGUAUCAAAUUUAAUACUUAAUAAUUCAGUAACUUAAUGGAUUCAAACUUUGGUUCUCAAUUUUUAGUUUUCAGCCUUCAGUUUUAUCAAACACACUCUUAGAAUCUGAUCAAUUAGAAGUGCCACGCUUUUCUAAGAUAAUUGCCGAUUAAAACUGCUAAUUUACUGGUUUCCCUAGUUAGGCACAUAAUGAAAAUGAAAAUGGCAGAAGAAAAAUUUUGAAGUACCAUAGUACAACUACUAGCAUGACUAUCAAUAAUCUCCAUGUAAUUAGUUGAAACAUAGGAAAAAAUACAGAGAAGAUAGCACUUAUGAACAAUUUUAAUAACCAGGAAAAAAAUAUUCAUUUUUCUUUUUGUCAAUUUAAUAAUGGUUUGACCGGUUCAAGAUUUUCGCUUAUUUGCUAAAUUAAUCGCUCUGAACUAACAACCAGAGAGUAAAUUGACUCUUUCAGGUACCAAUGGUUGCUUGAUUUAGAAAUCAAUACUAAAUAUAAUUCUCUUUCUUGCUUCUUUUGGCUUUUGAUAUCUAAAAAAUGAAAACCUAGAUAGCUGAAAUUGAUAUUGUCUGCCAAAACCGAAGUGAUUGGUUGUAUUUAUUAGCACUAGGAAUGGCAUUUCUCCUCAAAAUUGAUACCUUUUUUUUAACGUUUGUUACCUACAUUAUUCAUUGGAUGUCAUUUGCGGACAUGAUUUCGAAAAGUCCAAUUUAAACUGCAUUAUUGACUCAAUCGAAUAUUAGAAUAGGCAAGGAGCCCCGCACCUAAAACACAGUGGGAAGACUUCAGCUUUUUAGUCUCCCAUCUCAACUUCGAAGCUUUUUAGUCUUCUGACAUUUUCUUACGAAAGUAAAAAUUCGGCAAAUAAAUCUAAAUUCCCGAGCAAUCUUCAAAAGUCGGCAACUUUUGAAGACGUCCAGAGGACUUAUCUAUCCAAAUCCCAUCCCCCCAAGACCGAUGUGGGAUUCAAAAGCUUUUUAGUCGAUCUUCAGCCUUUUAGCUUUUCAGACUUCCAUCUCAACCUUUUCCAUCAAUUUGACCAAGAUGUCAUUAGUCUUCUCAACGUCCUUUCCUAUCAAUUCUUAUUUCUUAGUUUUCCUUGUGAACAACUACCAAUUCCAUGUGUUUAGUCAACUUAGCUUAAUAAUAAUAAAGAUUAAAAAACUCCGCUUUAACUAUGAAUCUGUCUAACGAGUGCAUAAGAACACAAUAAUGCUGUAGUAAUUUUCAAAUAAAAAUUUUAGAUAAAAAUUUCAAUUUUUGCUUUGUUUGCAUCAUACACACAAUUUCCAAUACCUAUCUCACAUACAUCACAUCACAAAAAAUGCUAUAUUAAUUUUUUCAAAUAAAUAUUUCAAAUAACUUCCUAUUCAAACAAAAAUUUGAGUGGACCUGCAAAUGUUUAUUUGGGGCGAAUAAGGGCACAAAGAGCAUUAUCUGUUAUACCAAGUGCUGUAGAAAUAAAAGCGUGUUAGAAAAUUUUGAACGUCUUAAGCAAGAUAGUAAAAUUUUUUUAUUCAUAUAAUCUUAAACUCUCAAAAUUUCACCAUUGAAUAAGGGUUAUAGCACGUAGUAAUUAAUAGCAACUCUUGCCUUUGGCAGAUAUGUAAUUUUGCCUCUCAUUGACAUCUGCCCUAGUUUUUUAAAUGAAAAGGAAGACGAGACUAGAACCUUUUGAACCUUAACUAUCGGUUUUUUUUUUUGCCCCAUCAGAGGAAGGGGUGGAACGUAAGAAGCGGGGAAAAGGUAUGAGAAUUAAAAUCCAAGACCUCUAAUUCUUGAAAUCUGAACUUGUUAGGUUAAUUUUAGAGAAAAUCGUUCAAAACGUCCUUUACAUUUUACAAAAUGACUUUUUUUGUCCCUCACUUUUAAAAGUGUAAUUUUAUAUCCCUUCCAAAUUCACAUUGACCAAAUUUGAUCUCUACGUAGGUUUCCGACUAGUUUUUGGCCAGAAUCCACCACAUGACUUGCAUGUGAUCAUUUUUUGAGGGCAAAAUUUUAAAUCAAAUUUUUCCAUAAUUUGAUUCAUUGUCUCUCACAUUUCACAAAAUGAAUUUUUUCGUCCCUAACAUUUUACAAAAUGAAUUGUUUCGUUCCUCAUAUUUCAAAAAAUGAAUUUUUCCAUCCCUCACAUUUUUCAAAAUGAAUUUUUUUCAUCCCUCAUUGAUCAUGUGUACGAAUAGCUUUUUUCUAUAAACCCACGUAUAUGUCUAUUUGAUUUUACCUGAACAGUAUGAAUAACAUGUAAUUUAUUUCUAUUGGAUUUCAUCUAAACAUGCUAAUCAUAGCUAUACACAUGCUAUUCAAUAGAUGUAUAUAGGGGUUUAAAACUAAUAAUUUUGUUUGAAACCCACGUAUAUAUUUAUAUGAUUUCAUCAUUUGAACCUAUUCAAUAUUUGUGACCUUUCUCUUUUGGUAAUAAUUUAUUUAUUGAGUUGUAUAAUAAGGUCAUCUAAUUAAUAGGUUCUAACUCGAAUUCUAUAAUUGUGCUAACAAAUUUCAGUUUAAAUCUGAAAUUUCUACUCGACAUUUUUAAGACCAACAGUUGAAUUACUUGCCUUGUGAUUGUCUUAAUUUGAAAGUGCCAAUCACUUAUUUCUUUUUGUCAUGCUUUUCUUUUGUUUACUUUUUCUAUCCAAAUUUAAUUCGAUAUAAACACUCGAUAAUAUUUAGGAUUAAAUGUCAUCUUUAUUUUCAAAUUUCGAGUAAAAGAAAAUGAAUAUAAGUGAAAAACUAACAUUUUUUAAACACAUGUAUAUAUCUAUUUGAUUUCACUUGAGCAGUACGAAUAGUAUGUAAUAUAUCUCUAUUUGAUUUCAUCUGCUAUUCGUACUGUUCAAGUGAAAUCAAAUAGAUAUAUACAUGGAUUUAAGAAAAAUUUUGCACACACAUGUGAUAAGUGACUAAUUUACGUAAUAAUUGUAUGACAUUUUAUAUUAUUUUUAGUCACUUUGGUUAUAUUAUUGGAAGAAUAUGAAUCAUUUUGGCUAUAAUUGGUGAAAAAUGCUUUUAAGUGAUUAAAUGAGGUUUUUAUCACUUUUUACUUGGAUUUUGUGUAUUUUGACAGUUUUGACACAUUUUCGUAUUUCGGCUAUAACUUGAGUUACAAUGAUCGGAUUGGGAUGAUUCUUGAACCCAUUUGAAGAUAAGAGAUAGAUCUACAACUUUGGUGAAGACAUCUAAAUCCAGUUUGAAGGUUUUCCAGGUCAAAAUGCCGAAUUACAAUAGCAAAUUUCUACUGGUCGAAACUGGAACAGGGCAAUGAGCAGGUAAGGGUAUUUCAGUCAUUUCUCAGCCUACACAGAUCCAAAUGAGGUGAUUCUUGAUGCAUUGGAAAGCUAACUCAAAGGGCUACAAGUUUUAUGUUUUGGUCAAGAGCUAAAUCAGCUUUUAUCAUCAAGAAAAGAUCGGUUGAAGUUGGGCCAAAAACAGAGCAAGUGAUCCACACUCGGAUCCACUAUUCAUCCGAACCCUCGGUUGUUUCUGGGUUAGUGGAUCUGAGCUCGGAUCCAUACGGAUCCGAGGUACUGUAGCAGCUCGGAUCACUGGUCAGAAAAGGCUGCUCUGUACGCGUAAAACUCAAUUUCACUUCCACCAACUCACAUUGGAUGCUAGACAUGUGAGAAACAUUCCCAGCUGUAAAAGGGAGAUGUAAUCCUCAUUUCUUGACCACCUUUCAUCAUUAAAUAGCCAAAUUCAUUGCAAAAAAGGAGAUGGGGAGUUCAUAGCAGAAAAAGAGAGUGAGCUACGGGAGAGCUUGAAACUGCAGAAAUGUAGCUCUUUCAUCUCCCUAGUGUUAGUUUAGCUUAGUAUAGAGUAGUGUAGCUUUCCAUUCUUGUUUAUUAUCUAGAUUAGGAUGAAGAUGGAGGAUGAAGAAGGCAAGGAAGAAAGCUCAUGUGACAAGGGUUGUAUUCCUUCCAAACUCUUUAUCUUUUGUAUUUGAUUCCAAGUUUAGUUAAUAUACAAGUUCUGGAUUUUGUGUUCAUUAUGUGUUUCUAAAGUUUAUACCUUGGGUUUGGUUGAACUUUCUAUAAUUGUUAGUGUUUAUUAUUUGGUUAUUUGACUGCUAUGAUUUGAGCAAGUUAUUUAGCACUUUAGCUCUUGAAAUCAUGAUUAAUCUGGUACCAUUAAUUGUGAUUAUCUAAGGUGUUGUUUCUGCAAUGAAAAUUGAGAUUUAACACUAGUUCAAGAAGUGCUAAACAUAGGGAGUACACUCACGAAAGUAGAGGUGCACUUAUGUGGUUUUUAGUGAUUCAUUUCAUGUAAUUUCAUUGAAGAAAUGAACUUGUAGCUAAUUUCAUAACCAUGAAAAUAGGUAUGGAUUAGUUAUGAGUAUAAUUGAUUCACUACGAAAGUAGGAUUCAAAUGCAUAAGGAAAUUACACCAUAAUUAGCCUAGAUGUAGUAUUCAAUGAUCCAAAUAUAACACUUGCAUUAGUAGUUAGGGAUACCACAACCUAAGGAGCUUUCAUUUGUUAUUUUCUUGUAUAAUUUCAGUAGGUUUUAAUUUGUUAUAAUUCAUUGAUAGUCUAAAUAAUAGAGAAGCUUUAGUAGUACCGGUAAUUGCAAUCUUCCUUGUGGGAUCGACCCUUAAUACCCUAUACUCGCUCACGAUUCGUAUACUUGCGAUAAAUCGCGUGUGGGGUAUUUAGGAGUUUAUAAAUGUAAAACUUGAUUAGGAUGAGUUUAAUUGUAUAUGUAUACUCCGCGCACGUCAAGUUUUUGGCGCCGUUGCCGGGGAAGAUUUGGCAAUAUCGGUGUGAAGAACAACUUUAUUAGUUUAGACAUUUUAUUAGUUAUAGUGUGAAUGUUAUUUUCUGUUAUUUUAGUGUUUUUAUGUGUAUGUGUUUUAUAACUUAUUCUUCUUACUAAUCUUGCUCUUAAGUUGUUUAAAAGCAAUUUUAGGUGAUGAGAAGCGUAGGUCAAUUUGGAGGACAAUGCUUGAGAAAUGGAAGAUUGGUAAUGGAUGGUUACCAAGUGCAAAGCUCCUUUAAUAGAGGUAACCAAGAAUUUACUGAAUGUAUGUCUUUUGAAGAUGGUUUAAGGUGCUUAAAGGCAAAAUUUGAUGUAAUUAAGUUACAAGUUCAAAUGGACACCAUGAUGCAUGAAAUUGAGCAGAGGAGGAAUGUUAAUGUUUUUAAUUCUUAUCAUGUGAUUUGUGACUUGUGUGGAGGUUAUCAUGCUACUAAUACAUGUAUGCAAGCACAAAAUGUGGAUUAUUAUUAUGAAUUAGAGCAUUACAAUCCUUGUUUUGAUCAAUAUAGUGCUAAUUGGAGCAAUUCUCCUGCUUAUGGUUGGGAUAAUCAAUGUACUUAUAAUAAUUCUUCAUAUUUUUACGAUUACCAACCUGAAUGUGUCCAAUAUGAAUCAAAACCAUCUUGGGAGUUGGCAAUAGAGAAGUUAGCUAAUGCACCUCUACCUUGGGAGUUAGAAAAUGAACCAUUAGCUAAUGAUUCUAAUGCAUCUUGGGAGCUAGCUGUAGAAAAUUUUUCUAAUCAAUUUGAUUUAGCCACAGAAAAGCUAGCAAAUGCAACCUCCGACCGUUUUGAUAGGAUUGAGGAAAGGUUAGAUGAAUUAGCUUCUCACUUUGGUGAUAUACAUGAGCAAUUGAGUGCAUUGUGUGAAGUUAUUUCUUCUAAUAAUUUGCAAAAUGAUCCUAGCAUGAAUGGUGGGAAUGUUGUAUGUGAAAAUGGGUUGCAUUUUGAUGAAAAUGAUGAAUCUCAAUUGUGUUUCAAUGAGCAAAUGUCCAUUUCACAUGAUAAUAUCUUUGGAACUAACUUUGAGCCUCAAGAGGUGAGUUUUAAUGACUCAUUUUCACCCCUCUUGAGGAGUGCAUUGAAAGUAUAGGUUCUAAAGGUAUUCCUGCUCAAGAUACUCUCAUGACAUUUCCUUUGGUAAGUUCUCAAGUGGUGCAUAUUCAAGGUAAUAUCUAUGAAACACUUGGAAUAUGUAAGUCACUUCCAUCUCUCACAUCAUUAGAUCAUGUGGCUUUUUCUAUUAAGUCACCUUACAAUGAUCCACCAAGGCCUAAAAUGGUGGAUUAUUCGUUAACUAAACCUCCUUGAAAAAUGAGGAGAAAUAGUCAAGCUAUUGACUUUAAAGAAGCGCUUAUUGGGAGGCAACCCAAUGCUUGUUUAAGUUGGUGUUACUUUGGAGUGAUUUUAUGUUUAAAGUAUAAGUUUGAGUAAUUUUGUUGUUUUUCAUUUGUAGGUUUUGGAAAAGUGACCAAAUGAGGUGAAAAAGGCGAAGUUUGAUCAAAGAUCUCAAUACCUCAAAUUCAGUAAUUGUAAAUUUUGAUGCAUUAAAGAGGUUUAGAAUGCAUGUUUAGAUCAUUUUACAUGUGCGUGAAUGAUUUAUUUUGACAUAGAAAUGAUCUAGGGUGUAUUUUGAAGAAUUGAGGUCAAACUGAAAAUUGCAAAAAUUCUGCAAUAAGUGCAGAUUCAAUGGAUCCAAGGCCUCGGAUCCAUAUGGAUCCAAGGCCUCGGAUCCACUUCUGCAAUCAGAGAAAAACUUCGAGCUUCUUGAUCCGAGCUCGGAUCCAUAUGGAUCCGAGGCCUCGGAUCCACUUCUGCAAUCAGAAAAAAUUUGAGCUUCUUGAUCCGAGCUCACUUAUCAUGAUCCGACCUCGGAUCCUUUCAAAAACGACCUCGGAUCCUUUCCAAACGAAGCCUCGGACCACUUUUCUUCAUUCUUCCCUCUUUUUCCUCCUUCAACUCCACUUUUCUUCUUGUUGGUUGCAAGCUUUUAUUCUUAAGAAUUGUAUUUUUGUUUUUUUUUUUUUUUUCAAGGUGCAUUAAUUGAAGUCUCCAUUCUUUCAAGUAAAGUUGGAAAUUCAUCACUUGGACAUGGAUUCGGAUUGCGCAAGUCAUAAGGGGAGUAUUUUCUUUUACUCUUUCUUUAUUUUCCUUUUCUCACAUUGAGGACAAUGUGAAGUUUAAGUGUGGGGAGGAAAUAUGUGAACUUGCAUCUAAUAAUGCUAUGUGAUGAUAUUUUGUGGAUUUAAAUGCUUAGAAAUAUUGAAAUUGUGUUUGAAUUAUUUGCCAUGUGGAUAAUUUGCCUGAAAUUGGGUUUGUUGGCAGGGAGUUUUCUUCCAUUUAUAUGGGGAAACUCCGUCAAAAUUUGUUGUCUAACAUCUUGUCCAAUAUGUCACUAUGGCCCAAAAGUUCUUCAAAUUUUUGCAUUUUCAUUCAAAAAGGGCUAAUUUGUUCCAACUUUAAAUGUUUAUAUUCUUCCAAUUGUUGAAACUUUAUAUGUAUGUUGGAAGGUUUAGUCCUCAUUUAACUUGGAAAUAGUAUUAUGCAAUUAGAAUUUUUACAUUUUAGAAAGUAUAUUUGGUAAAGUGAGGAAAAUUAUGCCUAUAAUUUUACAUGUUUAAUGAGAUUUCUUCUCUUUACUUAAUUUUGCAAGUAAGUGAUUGAUAUAGUCGAUAAAGGUUAUAUUCCUCCUUUGAUUAUUCUUAUAUAUUUUCUAAGAGGGGUUAUCUAUUUAUUGUCGUUUAUUUCUGAAAAAGAAAAAAAAAAGUAAAAAAAAAAAGAAAAAAAAAGAAAAAAGAAAAAAAAAAGAGAAAGUAAAUAAAAAUUGUUCUACUCCAAUGAUUCAUGUACCGAGUAACCGGGGUUGGCAUCAACAAAUGUCGACAUUCGCGUAAAAAGGUACUUGAAUUAAGAGUAUGCAUAGCAACUUGAAUAAGUGAAAUGUUGAGUAACCGGGGAUCUUCACCUAAAAGUGUCGAUUUUCGCGUAAAAAGGCAUUUUCACUAUUUAAGUAAAAUUUGUGUGAAUAAAUCCCUCUUAGUUAUAGAAUUUUGAGAAAAAGAUGAUUAUAGGAGGAGGAAAGCUAUAAAUUGACUAUGUGAUUUGCUUAUUUGUAAAAUUAAGUUAGGGUAAGAGAUUAAGUUUAACUUGUUGAAUUUAGGGUAUAAUUAUCUUUCCUUUACUUGAUAUUAUAAGUAUUUAGUGUAAAUUGAAUAAUUGUAUAAUGAUUAUUUUCCAAGUCUUGAGGAAUUAAAUUGGACAAAGUGCAUAUAUUGUUUCACCUCUUGAAUCAUUGCAUUUGAUUAUGUGUGAAUUGGCUUGAGGACAAGCAAUGAUUUAAGUGUGGGGGAGUUUGAUAAGUGACUAAUUUACGUAAUAAUUGUAUGACAUUUUAUAUUAUUUUUAGUCACUUUGGUUAUAUUAUUGGAAGAAUAUGAAUCAUUUUGGCUAUAAUUGGUGAAAAAUGCUUUUAAGUGAUUAAAUGAGGUUUUUAUCACUUUUUACUUGGAUUUUGUGUAUUUUGACAGUUUUGACAUAUUUUCGUAUUUCGGCUAUAACUUGAGUUACAAUGAUCGGAUUGGGAUGAUUCUUGAACCCAUUUGAAGAUAAGAGAUAGAUCUACAACUUUGGUGAAGACAUCUAAAUCCAGUUUGAAGGUUUUCCAGGUCAAAAUGCCGAAUUACAAUAGCAAAUUUCUACUGGUCGAAACUGGAACAGGGCAAUGAGCAGGCAAGGGUAUUUCAGUCAUAUCUCAGCCUACACAGAUCCAAAUGAGGUGAUUCUUGAUGCAUUGGAAAGCUAACUCAAAGGCUACAAGUUUUAUGUUUUGGUCAAGAGCUUCAGCUUAUCAUCAAGAAAAGAUUGGUUGAAGUUGGGCCAAAAACAGAGCAAGUGAUCCACACUCGGAUCCACUAUUCAUCCGAACCCUCGGUUGUUUCUGGGUUAGUGGAUCGAGCUCGGAUCCAUACGGAUCCGAGGUACUGUAGCAGCUCGGAUCACUGGUCAGAAAAGGCUGCUCUGUACGCGUAAAACUCAAUUUCACCUCCACCAACUCACAUUGGAUGCUAGACAUGUGAGAAACAUUCCCAGCUGUAAAAGGGAGAUGUAAUCCUCAUUUCUUGACCACCUUUCAUCAUUAAAUAGCCAAAUUCAUUGCAAAAAAGGAGAUGGGGAGUUCAUAGCAGAAAAAUAGAGAGUGAGCUACGGGAGAAGCUUAACUGCAGAAAUGUAGCUCUUUCAUCUCCCUAGUGUUAGUUUAGCUUAGUAUAGAGUAGUGUAGCUUUCCAUUCUUGUUUAUUAUCUAGAUUAGGAUGAAGAUGGAGGAUGAAGAAGGCAAGGAAAAGCUCAUGUGACAAGGGUUGUAUUCCUUCCAAACUCUUUAUCUUUUGUAUUUGAUUCCAAGUUUAGUUAAUAUACAAGUUCUGGAUUUUGUGUUCAUUAUGUGUUUCUAAAGUUUAUACCUUGGGUUUGGUUGAACUUUCUAUAAUUGUUAGUGUUUAUUAUUUGGUUAUUUGACUGCUAUGAUUUGAGCAAGUUAUUUAGCACUUUAGCUCUUGAAAUCAUGAUUAAUCUGGUACCAUUAAUUGUGAUUAUCUAAGGUGUUGUUUCUGCAAUGAAAAUUGAGAUUUAACACUAGUUCAAGAAGUGCUAAACAUAGGGAGUACACUCACGAAAGUAGAGGUGCACUUAUGUGGUUUUUAGUGAUUCAUUUCAUGUAAUUUCAUUGAAGAAAUGAACUUGUAGCUAAUUUCAUAACCAUGAAAAUAGGUAUGGAUUAGUUAUGAGUAUAAUUGAUUCACUACGAAAGUAGGAUUCAAAUGCAUAAGGAAAUUACACCAUAAUUAGCCUAGAUGUAGUAUUCAAUGAUCCAAAUAUACACUUGCAUGUAGUUAGGGAUACCACAACCUAAGGAGCUUUCAUUUGUUAUUUUUUGUAUAAUUUCAGUAGGUAAUUUGUUAUAAUUCAUUGAUAGUCUAAAUAAUAGAGAAGCUUUAGUAGUACCGGUAAUUGCAAUCUUCCUUGUGGGAUCGACCCUUAAUACCCUAUACUCGCUCACGAUUCGUAUACUUGCGAUAAAUCGCGUGUGGGGUAUUUAGGAGUUUAUAAAUGUAAAACUUGAUUAGGAUGAGUUAAUUGUAUAUGUAUACUGCGCACGUCAAGUUUUUGGCGCCGUUGCCGGGGAAGAUUUGGCAAUAUCGGUGUGAAGAACAACUUUAUUAGUUUAGACAUUAUUAGUUAUAGUGUGAAUGUUAUUUUCUGUUAUUUUAGUGUUUUUAUGUGUGUGUUUUAUAACUUAUUCUUCUUACUAAUUUGCUCUUAAGUUGUUUAAAAGCAAUUUUAGGUGAUGAGAAGGUAGGUCAAUUUGGAGGACAAUGCUUGAGAAUGGAAGAUUGGUAAUGGAUGGUUACCAAGUGCAAAGCUCCUUUAAUAGAGGUAACCAAGAAUUUACUGAAUGUAUGUCUUUUGAAGAUGGUUUAAGGUGCUUAAAGGCAAAAUUUGAUGUAAUUAAGUUACAAGUUCAAAUGGACACCAUGAUGCAUGAAAUUGAGCAGAGGAGGAAUGUUAAUGUUUUUAAUUCUUAUCAUGUGAUUUGUGACUUGUGUGGAGUUAUCAUGCUACUAAUACAUGUAUGCAAGCACAAAAUGUGGAUUAUUAUAUGAAUUAGAGCAUUACAAUCCUUGUUUUGAUCAAUAUAGUGCUAAUUGGAGCAAUUCUCCUGCUUAUGGUUGGGAUAAUCAAUGUACUUAUAAUAAUUCUUCAUAUUUUAUGAUUACCAACCUGAAUGUGUCCAAUAUGAAUCAAAACCAUCUUGGGAGUUGGCAAUAGAGAAGUUAGCUAAUGCACCUCUACCUUGGGAGUUAGAAAAUGAACCAUUAGCUAAUGAUUCUAAUGCAUCUUGGGAGCUAGCUGUAGAAAAUUUUUCUAAUCAAUUUGAUUUAGCACAGAAAAGCUAGCAAAUGCAACCUCCGACCGUUUUGAUAGGAUUGAGGAAAGGUUAGAUGAAUUAGCUUCUCACUUUGGUGAUAUACAUGAGCAAUUGAGUGCAUUGUGUGAAGUUAUUUCUUCUAAUAAUUUGCAAAAUGAUCCUAGCAUGAAUGGUGGGAAUGUUGUAUGUGAAAAUGGGUUGCAUUUUGAUGAAAAUGAUGAAUCUCAAUUGUGUUUCAAUGAGCAAAUGUCCAUUUCACAUGAUAAUAUCUUUGGAACUAACUUUGAGCCUCAAGAGGUGAGUUUUAAUGACUCAUUUUCACCCCUCUUGAGGAGUGCAUUGAAAGUAUAGGUUCUAAAGGUAUUCCUGCUCAAGAUACUCUCAUGACAUUUCCUUUGGUAAGUUCUCAAGUGGUGCAUAUUCAAGGUAAUAUCUAUGAAACACUUGGAAUAUGUAAGUCACUUCCAUCUCUCACAUCAUUAGAUCAUGUGGCUUUUUCUAUUAAGUCACCUUACAAUGAUCCACCAAGGCCUAAAAUGGUGGAUUAUUCGUUAACUAAACCUCCUUGAAAAAUGAGGAGAAAUAGUCAAGCUAUUGACUUUAAAGAAGCGCUUAUUGGGAGGCAACCCAAUGCUUGUUUAAGUUGGUGUUACUUUGGAGUGAUUUUAUGUUUAAAGUAUAAGUUUGAGUAUUUUGUUGUUUUUCAUUUGUAGGUUUUGGAAAAGUGACCAAAUGAGGUGAAAAAGGCGAAGUUUGAUCAAAGAUCUCAAUACCUCAAAUUCAGUAAUUAUUUUGAUGCAUUAAAGAGGUUUAGAAUGCAUGUUUAGAUCAUUUUACAUGUGCGUGAAUGAUUUAUUUUGACAUAGAAAUGAUCUAGGGUGUAUUUUGAAGAAUUGAGGUCAAACUGAAAAUUGCAAAAAUUCUGCAAUAAGUGCAGAUUCAAUGGAUCCAAGGCCUCGGAUCCAUAUGGAUCCAAGGCCUCGGAUCCACUUCUGCAAUCAGAGAAAAACUUCGAGCUUCUUGAUCCGAGCUCGGAUCCAUAUGGAUCCAGGCCUCGGAUCCACUUCUGCAAUCAGAAAAAAUUUGAGCUUCUUGAUCCGAGCUCACUUAUCAUGAUCCGACCUCGGAUCCUUUCAAAAACGACCUCGGAUCCUUUCCAAACGAAGCCUCGGACCACUUUUCUUCAUUCUUCCCUCUUUUUCCUCCUUCAACUCCACUUUUCUUCUUGUUGGUUGCAAGCUUUUAUUCUUAAGAAUUGUAUUUUUGUUUUUUUUUUUUUCAAGGUGCAUUAAUUGAAGUCUCCAUUCUUUCAAGUAAAGUUGGAAAUUCAUCACUUGGACAUGGAUUCGGAUUGCGCAAGUCAUAAGGGGAGUAUUUUCUUUUACUCUUUCUUUAUUUUCCUUUUCUCACAUUGAGGACAAUGUGAAGUUUAAGUGUGGGGGAGGAAAUAUGUGAACUUGCAUUCUAAUGCUAUGUGAUGAUAUUUUGUGGAUUUAAAUGCUUAGAAAUAUUGAAAUUGUGUUUGAAUUAUUUGCCAUGUGGAUAAUUUGCCUGAAAUUGGGUUUGUUGGCAGGGAGUUUUCUUCCAUUUAUAUGGGGAAACUCCGUCAAAAUUUGUUGUCUAACAUCUUGUCCAAUAUGUCACUAUGGCCCAAAAGUUCUUCAAAUUUUUGCAUUUUCAUUCAAAAAGGGCUAAUUUGUUCCAACUUUAAAUGUUUAUAUUCUUCCAAUUGUUGAAACUUUAUAUGUAUGUUGGAAGGUUUAGUCCUCAUUUAACUUGGAAAUAGUAUUAUGCAAUUAGAAUUUUUACAUUUUAGAAAGUAUAUUUGGUAAAGUGAGGAAAAUUAUGCCUAUAAUUUUACAUGUUUAAUGAGAUUUCUUCUCUUUACUUAAUUUUGCAAGUAAGUGAUUGAUAUAGUCGAUAAAGGUUAUAUUCCUCCUUUGAUUAUUCUUAUAUAUUUUCUAAGAGGGGUUAUCUAUUUAUUGUCCUUUAUUUCUGAAAAAGAAAAAAAAAAAAAAAAAAAAAGAAAAAAAAAAAAAAAGAAAAAAAGAGAAAGUAAAUAAAAAUUGUUCUACUCCAAUGAUUCAUGUACCGAGUAACCGGGGGUUGGCAUCAACAAAUGUCGACAUUCGCGUAAAAAGGUACUUGAAUUAAGAGUAUGCAUAGCAACUUGAAUAAGUGAAAUGUUGAGUAACCGGGGAUCUUCACCUAAAAGUGUCGAUUUUCGCGUAAAAAGGCAUUUCACUAUUUAAGUAAAAUUUGUGUGAAUAAAUCCCUCUUAGUUAUAGAAUUUUGAGAAAAAGAUGAUUAUAGGAGGAGGAAAGCUAUAAAUUGACUAUGUGAUUUGCUUAUUUGUAAAAUUAAGUUAGGGUAAGAGAUUAAGUUUAACUUGUUGAAUUUAGGGUAUAAUUAUCUUUCCUUUACUUGAUAUUAUAAGUAUUUAGUGUAAAUUGAAUAAUUGUAUAAUGAUUAUUUUCCAAGUCUUGAGGAAUUAAAUUGGACAAAGUGCAUAUAUUGUUUCACCUCUUGAAUCAUUGCAUUUGAUUAUGUGUGAAUUGCUUGAGGACAAGCAAUGAUUUAAGUGUGGGGGAGUUUGAUAAGUGACUAAUUUACGUAAUAAUUGUAUGACAUUUUAUAUUAUUUUUAGUCACUUUGGUUAUAUUAUUGGAAGAAUAUGAAUCAUUUUGGCUAUAAUUGGUGAAAAAUGCUUUUAAGUGAUUAAAUGAGGUUUUUAUCACUUUUUACUUGGAUUUUGUGUAUUUUGACAGUUUUGACACAUUUUCGUAUUUCGGCUAUAACUUGAGUUACAAUGAUCGGAUUGGGAUGAUUCUUGAACCCAUUUGAAGAUAAGAGAUAGAUCUACAACUUUGGUGAAGACAUCUAAAUCCAGUUUGAAGGUUUUCCAGGUCAAAAUGCCGAAUUACAAUAGCAAAUUUCUACUGGUCGAAACUGGAACAGGGCAAUGAGCAGGCAAGGGUAUUUCAGUCAUAUCUCAGCCUACACAGAUCCAAAUGAGGUGAUUCUUGAUGCAUUGGAAAGAUAACUCAAAAGGCUACAACUUUCGUGUUUUAGGCAUGAGCUGGUUCAGCCUCUAACAUCAAGAAAAGAUCGGUUGAAGUUGGGCCAAAAACAGAGCAAGUGAUCCACACUCGGAUCCACUAUUCAUCCGAACCCUCGGUUGUUUCUGGGUUAGUGGAUCGAGCUCGAUCCAUACGGAUCCGAGGUACUGUAGCAGCUCGGAUCACUGGUCAGAAAAGGCUGCUUUACGCGUAAAACUCAAUUUCACCUCCACCAACUCACAUUGGAUGCUAGACAUGUGAGAAACAUUCCCAGCUGUAAAAGGGAGAUGUAAUCCUCAUUUCUUGACCACCUUUCAUCAUUAAAUAGCCAAAUUCAUUGCAAAAAAGGAGAUGGGGGUUCAUAGCAGAAAAAUAGAGAGACUACGGGAGAAGCUUGAGUCUGCAGAAAUGUAGCUCUUUCAUCUCCUAGUGUUAGUUUAGCUUAGUAUAGAGUAGUGUAGCUUUUCCAUUCUUGUUUAUUAUCUAGAUUAGGAUGAAGAUGGAGGAUGAAGAAGGCAAGGAAGAAAGCUCAUGUGACAAGGGUUGUAUUCCUUCCAAACUCUUUAUCUUUUGUAUUUGAUUCCAAGUUUAGUUAAUAUACAAGUUCUGGAUUUUGUGUUCAUUAUGUGUUUCUAAAGUUUAUACCUUGGGUUUGGUUGAACUUUCUAUAAUUGUUAGUGUUUAUUAUUUGGUUAUUUGACUGCUAUGAUUUGAGCAAGUUAUUUAGCACUUUAGCUCUUAAAUCAUGAUUAAUCUGGUACCAUUAAUUGUGAUUAUCUAAGGUGUUGUUUCUGCAAUGAAAAUUGAGAUUUAACACUAGUUCAAGAAGUGCUAAACAUAGGGAGUACACUCACGAAAGUAGAGGUGCACUUAUGUGGUUUUUAGUGAUUCAUUUCAUGUAAUUUCAUUGAAGAAAUGAACUUGUAGCUAAUUUCAUAACCAUGAAAAUAGGUAUGGAUUAGUUAUGAGUAUAAUUGAUUCACUACGAAAGUAGGAUUCAAAUGCAUAAGGAAAUUACACCAUAAUUAGCCUAGAUGUAGUAUUCAAUGAUCCAAAUAUAACACUUGCAUGAGUAGUUAGGGAUACCACAACCUAAGGAGCUUUCAUUUGUUAUUUUGUAUAAUUUCAGUAGGUUUUAAUUUGUUAUAAUUCAUUGAUAGUCUAAAUAAUAGAGAAGCUUUAGUAGUACCGGUAAUUGCAAUCUUCCUUGUGGGAUCGACCCUUAAUACCUAUACUCGCUCACGAUUCGUAUACUUGCGAUAAUCGUGUGGGGUAUUUAGGAGUUUAUAAAUGUAAAAUUGAUUAGGAUGAGUUUAAUUGUAUAUGUUACUCCGCGACGUCAACAUGAUCAAUAAAAGAUGAAAAAAUUCAUUUUAAAAAAUGUGAAUGAUGAAAAAAUUCAUUUUGUGAAAUGUAAGGGAAAAUUUUUAUUUUAUGAAAUGUGAGAGAUUAUGAAUCAAAUUAUAUAAAUUUCAUUUGACAAUUUUGCCUUAAAAUUGAUCACGUGCAAGGCACGUGGUGAAUUCCGACCAAAAACUAGUCGGAAACCUAAGUAGGGACCAAAUUUGACCAAUAUGAAUUUGUAACGGACGUAAAAUUAUAUUUUUAAAAGUGAGGGACGAAAAAAGUUAUUUGCAAAAUGUGAGGACGUUUUGAACAAUUCUCCGCUUAAUUUUAAAUUCAUAUCAAACAUAAUUUGUCAAUAGAGGCAUACCGUUUUGCAUUAGAUACAAAAAUUAAAAUGUUCUAUUUGCAGUUUAAUUAUCCUUUGUUUCUGCAUAAUUUGGUAAUUGACUUGAUAGAUUCAAGAUGUUGGCUACUUUGCUUUAAACACGUUGAAUUUUGUAGAAGUCAAAAAUUAACCCAAAAAAUUAUACGAUAUAUAUUUGAUAAAAACUCAUGUGUAGGAGAAAAGAGGAAUAAAUAUCAACACAUAUAUCGUUAAUUAUAUAUAAUAACAAGACUCUCAAAUUUCACUCUUUUCAACUAACCAUAUAAUAGGACUUCUUAUUUAUAGACUAGAUAACUUGUUACACAUAAUAACAAGACUCUUAAAUUUUACUCUUUUCAACUAAUCAUAAUAGUAGGACUCUUUAUUUAUAGAUUAGAUGAUUUGGUAAACACAGUUAUACAACUGCAAGAAAUUUUUUAAUAAAAUAAAACUUCCUAAACACUAAAACUACUAUAACUUGACUUCAACAAAAUUACUAAAAACUUGAUUUGACUAAAAUACUACCAAAUAACAAUAUAGAAACUUAUAUUUUUUUAGGCUUGAUUUAGUAUGCCAAUAUUGCUUUCCUUAAAUCAAGCUCUCUAUUGAAUUACGUUCAUUGCAAUCACGAACAACAAUCUCCUUUGUAAAUUUUGUUAACAUCAAUUUGAAUUCUUCAUCUUCAAAGGUUUUUUUUGCUGCAAUACUCCACACUCCUAGACAAAUUUAUCUGAUCGCUCGAUUUAUUUUGACUCAUUAAAAUAAUCCAUGUUUCCGGAUAGACUGUUCUCAUCGCACAAUUUGAUAUCAACCUAUUAACAAUGCACUUUGUGAUUUUAAUAAUCACAACUCAACGGACAGGAUUCUGCAAUCUCUGUUUUUCCACCCAUAAUCAAUCUGAAAAUUCUCUUAAACCAAUAUUGUAGCCCAAUCUUCACCAACUGGAUACUCCAUGAUCAAUCUUGUGGUCUAACUCAAUCAACUGAGUGUAUUUCUUGAGUGUAUUUCUUCCUUUGGUCCUUCAUGUCACAUGAUUUCCACAUUAAAUCAUCAGCAAUCAUGCAAGCAUCUCCUCACUUCCCUUCAAUUGAUGAUUGAAUUAUCAAAACCUAUAAAAAAAACAUGAAAUUUCCGCACUUAAGUCCAUAGAAAUGUGAGUUUUCUCACUUAACCACAAAAUGCAAAACUUAACUUAAAAUCUAGUUAUUCAACUUCAACUUAAAUGAAAAUACACUAAAAUGCACAUAAAUAACCACUUACAAAUAUGCAAAUCAAGCACUUAUCAUUUACCUUGCUCUAUCAUAUAUGCAUCUUGUAUCUUUAUAAUCAUUCUUCCACUAUUCUUGUAAUUCAUCAUUACCAAUCACUCUGGAAAGAAUAAAAUGUAAAGGCUACACAUCUACGAAUAAAAAAAUUGUGAUUUUCGGUGUUCAUUUUUGACUAAUACUCUAUUUUUUUAUUCAGGCCAAUAUAGUAUAAAUAGUAUCUAAUAUUGGUUGAAACUUUCUUUUGGUGGUCCUCUGUUUCCUUUUGGUAUAGUGUUUACUUAAUUGUAAUUUUAAGUCAUAUAUAUCGUACACAAAUGCAACGAAACUCUAUACUAGCAGAAAGAGGUAAAAGUUGAUUUGUCAUGGAAGAUUUGUCUAAAUGUAAUUGAAGGGGUCAGGAACUAAGUAAGUUAUAUAUGUUGGUGGUAAAGUAACAAUUAUUGUUAAAAGAUUAUUGUCCUACAUAUAUUUUCAUAACAAUUUUUUUAGGUGUGGAGGGGCUUUUCUUUCUCGCCCCCGCUUGGUACGUCCUUGUCCGAUUGAGAUUACUUCAAAAGAAAUAUUUCUGGUCUGAAAAUGAGAAGUUUCAUUUUGUUGCAUACAUAAAUCAUUAUACACUGUCAUUAAAAAAUUUUUUUUUGAUAUGCUACCAAGUCUAAAUGUACGGUAGUCUUUAUUUUUCAUAUUUUUAUUUUACAUAUGAUGUGCAUCCAACUUGCUUUAUGUAAAAUAAUCUUUUACUUAGUUUAAGAAAAUGUAAUCCUUCUCCUAUUUAACCACCACAACUAAUAAAAGGUGACAAAAGCCCUUUUCAUCUAUUUUUUCUUAACAUGGUUAAGAACUUCUGUUUUAUUGAGCAUUAAACUAAAAGUGCAAUUCGCCAUUUAGAUGGUCAAGAUGGAUAAUGGUUUGGCCACAGAAUGGUUAGUUAAGUCCUUAUAAAACGGGAAGAAUGGAGUACCAUGUUAUCAGGAAAGUCAACUUUUGAGCUCUUCAUCAAAUUUACUGCUGAAUCGUAGAUAAACAUAUGUGGAUUGGAUGGAGCAUCAUAUUAUCAGGAAAGUCAACGUUUGAGCUUUUUAUUAUUUUUACAGUAGAUGAAAUUCUUGACUAUCAACUUUGAAUGAUAUAUUUGCUGAGUAUACCAUUCUAUACAAACCUAUUUUGAUAGGUGACCACCCAUUGGCAUUUAAUUCUCUCUUAAAACUUUUUAUGCUCUACCUAACUCUUAGAAAUGUAAUCCUAUUUCAUUCAAACCAUUUAUACGCACAAAAAUCAAAAGUCAAGAUUGAUUUAGCUAUUAAGUGUAAGUUAACCUUAUUAAAGUGAUAGAAGUUCAAAGGUGCAAAGUGGAUUUAAUUCUUUUUUUCAGAACCUUGUCAAAUGUGUUUCAUUGCUUUUUAUUUCUUUUUAGGCAAAAGUGUUUCAAGACUUCAAGGUUUUUCAUUAUUCCACUAUAUAACAAAAGAAAUUCUUGACUAUGAACUUUGAAUGAUAUAUCUACCGUGUAUACCACACCAUUCUACACAAACCUACUGUGAUAAGUGGCCACCCAUUGAGGUUUAAUUCUCUUUUAAAACCUUUUAAUCUCUACCUGACUCUUUGAAAUGCAAUCCUAUUUCAUUUAAACCAUUCAUCUAUAGAAAAAUCAAAAGUCAAGUUCGAUUUAUCUGCUGAGUAUAAGUUUGGAAUCCUGUUAAAGUGGUACAAAUUCAAAGAUGCAAAGUUGAGUUAAUCAUUUUCCAGAACCUUGUAAACUGUAUUUCAUUUUUUUUGGGUAAAUGUGUUUCAGGUUUUCAAGGUUUUCCAUUAUUACACUGUAUAGCAAAAGAAAUUAGGAAUGGCAGUAGGGCGGGGGAAUUUCCCUUGCCCCUCAGUCCUCCUACCCGUCCCGCUACCCCACGGAAGCACCCGUCGGGCUAAUAAAAAUUUGUUAUAUAAUUUCAUUGUAGUCAAAUUUGAGCAAAGAAUCAAAUACUUAAAUGCCAACACAUGACCAAGUCAUUAUCCAUUGUAAUUUCAUAAUUGAAACCCAUAAAAAACAAUUAAACAAAAGUUAUUUGAAUACAAUCCAAUAUGAUGAAACAAAUAUAACUAAAAUAGUCAAGUUUUCACUUUUGAGAAAACUACAAUCAUUAAGUCAUUAUUGUGUUUUUUUUUCUGAGAAAAAAGUGUUAUUGUGUUAAGUGUAAUUACGAAUUUAGUAUAAUUUUAUUAGUAGAUUUAAUAUAACUAAUUAAUAAUUUCUAUUAGUAGACAUGUACUAUUAUUAGUAUUUGAUAAUAUCAACUAUAUUACAAAAACUAAUCAUUUAUAUUACAAAUACUAAUAUGCAUUAUAUAAUAUUUAUAACUAAUAAUAUCAUUAUUAUAAAUUUGUAACAAAUUAAAUUAAAUAUUAUAUAUACAUAUAUAGAUUUAAUUUUUUUAAUGGGUGGUGAGGCGGGGGUUUACUCCCUUGCCCCCUGCCCCAUUUUUUAACGGCGGAAAAAAUCCCCUCCCCGGCCCAUUAGCCCGUGAUCAUCCGACCUAGUUGCCAUCCCUAAAAGAAAUUCUUGGCUAUCAACUUUGAAUGAUAUAUCUACUGAGUAUAUCGCACCAUUCUACUCAAACCUAUUGUGAUAGGUGGCCACCCAUUGAUUUUUAAUUCUCUCUUAAAACUUUUUAUGCUCUACCUAACUCUCAGAAAUGUAAUCUCAUUUCAUUUAAACCAUUUAUAUGCAGAAAAAUCAAAAGUCGACAUUGAUUUAUCUGCUAAGCACAAGUUCGGAACCUUGUUAAAGUGGUACAAGUUUGAAAAUGCAAAGUGGAGUUAAUCCUUUUCCAGAACCUUAUUAAAUGUGUUUCAUUUUUGUUAGGUAAAUGUGUUUCAUGUUAACAAGGUUUUCCAUUAUCCCAUUAUCUAUGAAAAGAAAUUCUUGGCUAUGAACUUUGAAUGUAUAUAUGCUGAUUACACCACACCAUUCUACACAAACCUAUUGUGAUAGAUGGCCACCCAUUGAUGUUUAAUUGUCUUUUAAAACUUUUUGUGCUAUACCUAACUCCUUGACUCCAUCCUAUAAAUAUGGUCAUUGAACAAUUAUCUUCACCAUCUAACUAAUUUGUUUCUUCCUUCUUUGUUUUUCAGCAAGCCUUUCAACAUACAAAAUGGCAAAAGGUUCAGCUUUAACAUCCAUCCAAAUUUCCCUUUUGCUAUUAGUAGCAAUCUUUGUUUGUUCAGAAGCUAAUCAUCGUGACCGUGAUUAUUGCUGCGGUGGAAAGGAAACAAAGAUUACUGUGUACCUUCAACUGUUUUCAGGCGGACCAAAUGCCACCACUGUCGCAGUUGCCGGCGCCCCUGGUAGGCCGAGAACUCCCACCGAAUUUGGAACCAUUUAUGUUAAUGAUUCUCCCUUUACAGAAAGCAUCAGCAUCAAUUCUCCAACUGUUGGUCGAAGCCAAGGCCUUUAUGUAGCUUCAUCCCGUGAUGGACUUUACUCAUUUGACCCAUUUUCCUUCAUUUUCACCGACGGACAAUACAACGGUAGCACUUUGGAAUUCCAAGGACUAGGAUAUAGCAUACAAAAUACUUCGGUGACUGAAUUUUCAGUACUUUCUGGCACCAAAAUAUUUAGGUAUGUUCGUGGAUAUGCAACCUUUCUGGCGGUUCGACAAAUACCAGCAAGGAAUUAUACGGUUACAAUGGCCAAUAUUACCAUAAGGCGAUGCUGAGGAGGAUGGGAAGUUUGAAUAAUAAAGUGAAAACCAAUAAUUAAGAAAGCCAAUAACAGAUAUUUAGUUUUAUUUCAGACCAUAUACGUACGUGGUGGUCUCUGUUUCUUUAUGUACUUCUGGUUCAUUCGACUAUCUUAAUAAGAACUCCAUCCGGGAGGAUGGGAAAAAAUAAAUAAUAAAAGUGUUAAAAUAUGUCUUUGACAUCCAUGUGAAAUCAUUUAUGGUGCUGUCAAAUUUUGAGAGCUACAUGGACAUUUUUUUUUUACCUAUUUAGCGUCCUAGCAUAUACCCCAACUAUUGAGUUGUAUGUUUUAUUAGUCAAAUUCGUAGCAGCCAUUUCCAUUCAAAUACUAUUUGUUCGAAGGCUUUCACAUGGAAGAAUUUCUCCUAUAAAUAGAGGGUUUGGCAUGGCAGUUGGUGUGGCACUUCUAUCACCAGAGACGUAAACUCAUUUAGGGAAUUCUCUCCCUUUUGCGUAGUGUUGAGUUUUCUUGUUCAGUCUCUUUCUUAUUUUGGGACACCACAAUUCCAAGACACGAGAGCUCCUUUGGAAAAUCUUCCUUUUUGUGAUAUAUUGAAUACUCUCCUAUUUUGUCUCUUUUUUUGUUUGGGUUUUAGGAAUUAACUUGGAAUUCUCGGUGACAUGUUUUCUAUGCCAACCCAAUAUCACCUAUAGUAUUGCACUAAGUGUUCUGUUAUUAUUUACACUUUAAUUUUCUAAUAAUUCAACUUGGUUUGGUUUCACUUGGGAUCCUCGGUGACAUAUUUGCAAUGCCAAUCCACUGCCACCUAUAGCAUUGCGCCAAGUGUCCUGUUAUUAUUUGUACUUUAUUUUUUAAUAAUUCAAAUUGGUUUGGUUUAACAAAAUUUUUCUCUACCUCUACAACUUUGAACCAAAAUUUAACCAACCGGUCUAAUUUCACUUGGUUCCUUUUGUACGGCAAUCACUGGGAAAAAGAAAAAGAUAACCCUGCCACACCAUUGCCGGAGAGAGUCCAAACCUUUUCAUCGUUGAUUGCUUUGAACAAAGUCAAAGAAAAAAAAAAGAUGAUAUUCUAGCUUCCCCAAGAAACCAGUUCAAAGAAUUCAUCCAGACAAGCAAGACAAAUUUAAUUGUAACGAUUGGUGGUUGCUAGGGUGCUUUCUCGAGCAAAGAACUAACCAGAACGUUUCACAUCAUUCAGGUAAUUAUCCA
This 56323-nucleotide long non-coding RNA is filed under the name Coffea arabica (coffee). Its description in RNAcentral is "long non-coding RNA (CARA_LNC000680)". The stretch from base 27335 to 27440 matches the Rfam family "Plant small nucleolar RNA R71". Lineage: Eukaryota; Viridiplantae; Streptophyta; Magnoliopsida; Gentianales; Rubiaceae. The record is from RNAcentral.